UUUUACUAUGUAUGAAUCGAUAUUAUUCUAUUCCAAUUUUUUUCUAAAACUUCCCAAGAAAAUUUCCGAAAUGGAUCCAAAAUUGAUGGGUUAAUGCGAGCUUAUCCAUGCAAUUAGGCACUUUUCAAAUAGGAACCCAUUUCCUAAUUGGCUUUUGUGUUUUGGUGAGUCGUCCAAGAUCCUUUUAAUGACCUAUGUUGUGUUGAAGGGAUAUCUACAUGAUCCAAUCGAUUGCAUAAGACCCUCAGUAGCAAUAGAACAGGGAACACAUUAUACAUAAAAGAUAGUUUUUUAAUUUUAAUUAUCUAUGCAUUAGUCUAUUUCUGUUUCUAGAUAUCUAUUUCUAUAUAUCUAUAUAUUAGUAUUAGUUAGAAGCACUAUUCUAUUAGUUAGCAAUUUCAGCUCCGUGAGUUCUUUCUCUUCAUAAUGAAUUGUCGACAGUAGUCCUACAUUUUCUCAAUGGGCCGAGGAAAACAAGAGCUCAACAGGAAGAGGAUUAUACCAUGUGAGAAGCACAAAGGUCAACCCACUUCGAAUAUAGAAUAUGGAUUAUGGCAAUGCAACAAAGUUGGGUCAUCAAAUCGAUCCAAAUGAAUCAAUCUUUAUACGUAGGUCAAUCUUUGCGAUAGCAAGUUUGAAAUUUUGUCUUGGUAGGACAUGGAUUUCUAUUACUAUGAAAUUCAUAAAUUAGUUUAUGGGAGGGCUACCAUUAUCCUUUUUCUUGUAUGUGUUCCUAAGAGAAGGAAUUUAUCCAUUUCAUGUUUCGAGGUCUAAAAAAGGACAUGAAAACCAAUAUAAACUCUUAAAUGGAAAUUGAAAAGCAAUGUAGCCCUAGUUCCUUUGAAAAUGGUAAGAUCUUUGGUACAAGAAGGGGCGAUCCAUAUCAUCUUGACUUGGUUUUACUUUCUCUCUUCUUUUUAAGAGAUACCGGAGUCGGGUUCUUCUCCUACAAGUACUGAAUAGAACAUGGCAAACAAGAUCUUCUUCAUGGAAACCCACUUGAUUUAGAUAGGGAAAAGCUUAUAGAUUUUAUGAAGUCAUGUGCUAUGGAUCGAAUCCAUAGUCAAUUCUAUUUUUGAUAGGACCAGUUGAUAACUGAAUCCACUUUUCUCAUUAUUGGACUGUCCAUAAUAGUGCAGAUAGAAAGACUAGAUGAAGAGUGGUUUGACCUUGUGUUUCUUGCCCCUUUGCCUUAGGAUUCAUUAAUUCUCUCUUUCUCAGUGGGAUGGGGGAGGGAUAUAACUCAAUGUAGAGUGUCAUAUUCACGUGUUCAUCAUUUAUGAUAUCAAACCACUCUGUUGCUUGAUGAUUACUUUAUCCACUAUUGUUUCCUAGGACCAAAGUUAGCAUAUGGAGAACAUGCCAUCACCUGUUGCAGCACAUCGAGAAGACUAUGGUGUUCCUUUUACAUCAUUUUUCAUAUCAAUAGUGGCAGAGCCUGACCCAUAAUCAGGGGGAGGGGAGCUCAAUUUUCCUUAGAUAAUAGGAGUAUACUAUGUUUAUUGCCAGAUUAAUCAUAGUUUUGAGGCCAACUAAUUCUACUUGUUGGAGAUAGAUGGGCCAUGAGGCCAUUACAUGCACAUUUUGCAGAUAAGUAAACUGAAUAUCUAGCUCCUCAGAUAAACUGAUUACCUAGACAUGCAAAUAAUCAAAAUAUACACAAAUCUUCAUUAAGUUUUGUUAGCCUAGGGGAGUGGGGGUGGGGUGUGGGGGGGGGGGGGGUUGCAGAGCUCGGCAUGGCCUCACUAGGCGUUCCACCAGUGCAUAUCAAUCCGUCCUAGCUUAAGCCAUAUUUUGUCCUUCCUGUAAUUAAUUGACAUUGUUCUUCGUAUAUACUCUCUCCGUCCUACUAUUUUGAUUUUUAAAUUUUUUUAUUUAACCAUUCAUUUUAUUAAAAAAUUUGGUAUAAGUAUUAUUUAUUUUUUAUGACUUGUUUUGUCAAUAAAAAUACUUUAACAAUAAUUUAUUUAUUUGACUAUUUAUAUAAAAAUUUAAAUAAAACGAACAGUUAAAUAAAAAAAUCUAAAAGUUAAAAGCAAUAUUUUUAAUGAAAUAGAGGGAAUACUGCUUUGUUAGAUGGUACAACUGACUUCUAAUAGUACCAUAUUUUUAUUCCACUUUUAGUAGUGCAAGUUUGUCGUUCUUGCAUGCAGGACGGCUCAUUAGUCAUUCAUAAGCUACCACUUUCUAAACUCACACAUCAACACACCCGUAUACGUGAAUAUAUGGACAAAUAAUGAAUAUCACAAUAAACGAAACGGUGCACUGACUAGGCAUCUACCGUAUUUAAAAACACUGUAGCUAGUACUCCUGACUGUUCCGGAGACUGAAGAAAAGUUUGAAACACGCAGCAGCAAACGACGGGAUGCAUCUACGGACUACGCGGGGGUGGGGGGGCGAAGGAAUGCAUGCAUGCAUGUCGGAAAUACUAGCAAACAGAGCUGGUCCGCGUAUCGCAUCCAGAGUCCAGACACGUCGGUCUAGCUGUACUUAAGCUGUGCCUGGUGCCGUGGUGCGCGGUGCGCGCGCGCGUGAUUCCCAGUCCCACUGGGCCGGCCUCCUUGCGCCCACAGCGGCCAGCGGCAAGGCAACCCCACAAAACCAACCAACCCAUCACACACGGGCAAGCCUAAAAGUGGAGGGCGCGCGCCAGGACUGAGACCGAGAGAGUGGCUGCUGCUGGCGAAUCCAAUCCUGGACGAGAUUAGGUACGGUAGAGAUAGAGAGGCCCAGGAUGAGAGUGGCGGUGGUGGGCGCCGGCGUGAGCGGGCUGGCGGCGGCGCACGAGCUGGCGAGGAGCGGCGGCGGCGGCGGCGCGACCGUGACCGUGUACGAGAAGGAGGACUACCUCGGUGGGCACGCCAGGACCGUGGCCGUCGAGGACGACGACGCCGACGGCGGCGGCACCGUGCAGCUCGACCUCGGCUUCAUGGUCUUCAACCGGGUACGUCUGCAUCUGCAUGCAUGCCCGGCGUCGUCAUGGUCUGCGGCAUGCCCGGCAGCAAUUCUCCAUCUAUAUGCCUGCUUUGAGCUUUCCUAGUGCUACUCGUGUGCGCUGCGGCGUAUAUGUAUAUAUCCACGGGCAUUAUGUGCCAUUCGGCGUGAACAGCUCUCCCUCCUCCCUUUUAGGCGCGCGGUUUCAACAACUGAUCUUUUGUUUUCGAUUUAGCCGAGCAAUCAUUCUCUUUUCAUUUCCGUUUUCCGUAUUUAUUCUUCCUGUUCAUGGUUGGCAGAACUAGCGGAUAAAAACGUGGAUUGGUUAAUUAUCGUUCCAUGAUUAGUUGCUCGAUAAUAAGAUGCAAAUAAACCAUCAAGCUAGCAAUCCAUAAUGAUAUAAUCAUGAUCCUGUUUGGCACAACUUCGUGAGUUGUUCUAAACUGUUUUUUUUUAUCAAAUGGACCUUUUGAAAAUAGCUUCAUUACUAUUUAAAUCGUCUUGAAUGAAGCUAAAAAUAGUAGCUUUUUAUAGUCUAACCAUCCACUUAUAGGCCCUAUGCAAGAUUCUCUCUCGGAGCAUGAUUUAAGAAAAUCUAUAUACAUAGAGCUUUUGCUAAAUAGAUUUCCAAACAGUUUUAGCUUCAUCAUAAAAAUUGUUCGUAAAGCUAAAAAAGAUACAGCUCUACUGAUGAGCCGUGCUAGCUAAACGACGCCAAUAUAAACAUAUGGGACCGGGAAACGGUGCCGUGCGAUAUCGAGGCGACGUGGAGGCAGCAGUGACCUUACGACCUCACGUGGUUACCAGCAAAACGCGAGAGCCCAAAAUGCCAACACCUUCUGGUGGGUUGGCUCCCUUUUUCUAGGCAUCUAUAUCCCACAUGUAGUAGUUAUAUUUUCUCUAGAAAAGACCAUGUACCAUACUAUAUUCUACGACUUGUCACAUUGCUUGAUUGCGACGGUGUCCAGUAGCUAUGGCUACUAUUAACAGCAGAAGAUUAGCGUGGUUAUUAGGAAUGCUGUCGGCCUCACUUAGUAUUUUCCGAGGACCAGUCCACAUCUCUGUGUUACUGUGUACCCCUCUUCCUGUCCAUACAUUUAUUUAUUUUUUAGAAUCUAUAUAUAUUGCCGUACGUCAUCCGUUCCAAAACAUAGAGGGUAUAUUAAGACUAUAAAAUUCAAAGUUCACAAAUAUUAAUUAAUAAUGGAUUAAGUUGUAUACAUGUUUAUGCAGUAUUUAAGAGUUUAUUUUUCUCCGUGGUUUAAUAAUUGGUUAAGUUAUAUACAUAUUUAAUUAAUAAUUGGAGUAGUAUAUAAGAGUUACAUCAGUGGUUUCACAUUCCACACAUUUUUCAAAACGAUUUUUGAUUUUGUGACCAUUGAUGGUGUCUUGUAUGAACAACUAAUGGUCAAAGUAUACUUCUAAAAACUUACUCAAAUCAUAAUACACCUCAUAAAAAGGAUUGGAGUGAGUAUUAAAUAAUCUACUCUAUACAUAUUUAUACAGCCUAGUUUGACUUGGUGAGGUCACAUCAAGAUCAUACUUGGUGGUUUUAUACUGCAUCGGUCGUGGCUAUAAAAUUUACACAAUAUAUACAAAAGUAUUUUUAAAUGCGAAUCUACUCAUCAUGCUAAAUACAUAUAUGUAAUAGUCUAUAUAUUAUUAAGCUAAUGGUUAUUCAAAUAUAUAUUAAGGAGUUCAAAUUAUUCAUUAUUUUAAGAAAAAUAAAGGAAAUUAUAUACACUAUAUUGGCCCCAACAAUAAUCUGUCCAUAUAAAGGACAGGCUUCGCAAGAGACAUGCAUUCGUUUUAGCUUAUAUGCCAAAUCUGUCAAUCAUUGAGCAUUAUUUUUCUUUCACAAUAAAUCAGCAAACAAUAUUUCACCGCAUAGCUUUUCAGACAAGUUAACAGGCUCUCAAUCAUGACUUAUCAACCAAGCGAACAAUACUAAAGAUGCUUAUGCCAUCACUAACCUGUGCAAAGUGGAAUUGAAAAAAACAUGUGCAAUGCGAGAAUCAAGAUGGUCUGAUGGAGAUGAGGUGUAUAAAACACCGCUGGCGGGGAAAAAAGUACGACUUAUACAAUAAGCGAACAAGCUUUAAGUAUGUUCGCUAAUUUAUUGUGAGAAAAAAACAUUACUAAAUAACUGACAGAUUUGACAGCUCAAACGAAAAGGCUAGAUUUUUUUGCCGUCUCAGAGCAACUCCAACAAGGCCUCUACUUAAGCUUCCAUAGCUAAAUAUGAGUGCUCAGGCUAAAAAUAACACUCCAGCAAGGCCUGUACUAGAGCCCCCAAUUUGGAGUGGGCACCCAAAUCUCCCUAGCAAACCCCAUUCCUGUUGGCCCAAUACCUCAGCUCUCAUCCUGUGUGGUGUGGCUAUUACCUCCACACUGUACAGACGCAGCCUCGUCCACUUUCCUCCAUCGUCGAUCUCCACUACCGCGCUCCCUCCCUCCACCCUCGACCUCCACCGCUGGGCGGAUUCGCCGGUGCGUAACUCCGACGUGGCCCCUUCCCUGCCAUGUGGGCGCUGCCCCCGAUGCACGAGAGCUCUCAUCUCUUUUGCAUCAUGGCCUCUGUGUGGAGGAUGUGAGAAGAAAGAUUUGACCCAAUGGCAAGUGGGUCCCAUAUGUUAUUAUCUGCCAAUUUAGAUUUGGAGAUCUUCAUUUGAGGUGCUGUUGGAACAGAAACAAAAAUUUUGAGCACCCAAAAAGUAAGAGAGCAUCCAAAUGAAAAAUAAACCCUGUUUUUUUAGUGCUGGAGUUGCUCUCGUGUAACAAUCGCAACGCCAACGGUCGGUAUCACCGCUGUCACUUCCGUCAACACAGUGGGUGACCAAGCCACCAAGGCCUGGUGCAUGGUAGCCAUUGGUCGAGGCAAUCCGACACGCGACACCGUGUGGAUAGCUUGGCAUCGGUAACAGCUGAGCACCAAUAUUGUCAUUUGCUUACUGUAGAAAAAGAUCGGAGGGAGUACUGUACGUCCAACAAUCUGCUAAAACUAUCCGAGACUAACAUAGAUGACGCACGCAUGUUACUUUGACUCUUCUCUGCUUCCUCAACCGCUCGUCUUCUUUGACCCAAUCAAAUAGUAAGGGGUCUCCUAAAAAAACAAGAGGAAAACAAUAGUAAGGGUGUCUCCACCAAACCGGCGGCGGUGCGAGGUGGACAGCACAGAUCCGGAGCGGCGGCGAACGGAUCGCGACCGGGGUGAGAACAAGCCAGGCGGGACACAACCGCCGCAAAGGAACAAUCCGGCGUCGAAGACGGAGCAACGGCUUCUGCUGAGCAAUGGCCGGUCCGCGGUCGGCCAAGCCACAUGAGGAACCAAGUAGGAGGAGUACACGACAAACUAACUGACCCGGCGCCGGUGGUGGAUGUGGAUCCACUCCACGCCCCAUGCCCGUGCGUUCAUUUGCGUCUUCGUCGCGCCCCAUGCCCGUGCACCUCAGGCGUUCGUCUUAAUGCCUGUGAGGCACACCGCGCGCAUACUCCUACCCUCUCUGCACGGUGAUCAAUGGCGCUCAAUUGCAGCGUGGUGGACCGCCAGGUCGACCAUGGAGAAGUGCCCCAUGGACAGGCGGAGUCGGCGAAACCCCAUGCAGCUCAAGGUGGACGGCCGUGUGCUCGACCUCGUAGACGUUGCCACUGCCAAGGAGGUCGAGGGCUUGGCGAACCGCACCAAGAUCUGGACCAUCGUCAACGAGCUGACUAACCACGGUUAGUGUCAGCUUCAGCCUCGAGCUUAUGCCUGACCACCAGCAGUUCAGUUCGUCGCUUGAACUCUGGCAGUCUGGCUUUGCUCUCUCCUGGUCCGUAUUUAUGCACUAUUCUCAAUCCUUUAAUUUCCGCAAAACAAGUUGUUUGUUGGCAAACUAUCUGAAAAAUAGACUACAUUUAAGUUUCUACUCUGCGAAACUACACUUGACCUUGACCAUUCUCAAUGCACUAGCCAUAUGCACUAGUCAUAUUUGACAGGAACUGACAGGUCACAUUUGCAAAUGACCAGUGCACAUUAGUUAUUAUAUGGCUAAUCUUGGGCUGUAUUAUGCACGAGCGAGCAAAACUGCACAUCUACUGGUAAAGCAAAAAAGAUGAUUGCAUGUUUGAAGUAUGUAUCUACCUUGCAGAACAAUUGACUUGCAUGAUCAGGAAACAAAACUAACAUAGGGUGGCCUGCAUGUCAGUGGCAUUGUAAGGCAAUGCACGUCAUGAUGUGCGGUGAGCACAUUAGUCAGAUAGCCUCUGUUUAUAAUUCACACAGCCCUAAUCAACCUCACAUCAGAGUGUGUCCUGCCCACAUGGCAAACACAACAUUGUUCGGUGCUAAAAUGCUAGAACACCUCAUUAUUGAUCCAUAAAAAAGUGACAGGGUAGAGCUCCUUGAUCAACUUGGUAAGAUUUGCAGAUAAAUGGAAUGAUAACUUAAGUGUAUAGUUUUCUAUUAGUUUUACCAGUAAGUGAGAAAUUUGGGAUUUGCCAUGAUUUUCAAUUUUGACCAGUGGUGCACCAAUUACAAAAAAAUGGUGCACCAUUUGAAUUUACUUGUUGCAAAUAUUGUUUCAUUCGUAUACCAUAGAGCUUGUGACAUAUUAAUGCACUAAAUGUCAGGUUACAUACCCAAACAUGCUGGAAUGGUUUGAAGGGCUCGGAGUGGAGAUGGAGAUAUCCGACAUGUCCUUCUCAGUGAGCACACAAUUGGGGACCAGCGCCAGCAGAUGCGAGUGGGGCAGCCGCAAUGGUAUCUCAGGCCUCUUGGCACAGAAAAGCAAUGCACUGAGCCCUAGUUUUUGGCGCAUGAUUCGUGAGAUACUCAAGUUCAAGAACGAUGCUCUCAAGUGAUAAUACAUCUCGAUCUCAUUCCGAAUAACUAGAAUUAACUAUGCUCUCAACUGAUAUAUAAUAACCCAGAACUGAUGCUUGUUUUUGCAGGUACUUGGAGGACCAUGAAAACAACCCUGAUAUGGACCGGAAUGAGACCCUUGGGCAAUUCAUUCAGUCUCAUGGAUAUUCUCAGUUCUUCCAAGAGGCUUACCUUGUACACCUCUGUUCUUUAUUUGUCUAUAUGUUUUAAGUUUGCAGCAGAUUAAAAUGGCAUAUUUGCUUUGCUGCAGAUCCCAAUCUGUGCGUGUAUAUGGUCAUGUCCAUCGCAAGGAGUGUUCGGAUUCUCUGCUUUCUUUGUGCUCUCAUUCUGCCGUAACCAUCAUCUUCUUCAGGUGAACAAGCUUGUUAAUUAGGCUGACUAAUUUUUUGUCAUGGAUGCUAAUUUUUUCUCUUGCAUUUUAACUAUGCAUUCAGUUGUUCGGUCGCCCCCAGUGGCUCACAGUGAAAGGUCGUUCGCACUCCUAUGUGCACAAGGUGCUGUCCUGUAGUCCCUUUUCCUUCUUCACCCUCCUUAGAUGAUUGAUCAAUUCAACUAGUGCACACCAGCAGGUAAGGGAGGAGUUGGAAAGUAUGGGUUGCCAAAUUAAAACAAGCUGCGAAAUCAAAUCUGUUUCAAGUUCUGAGGGAGGUACUGCUAAUGCAAGCUCUCUAUCAAGUAUUUCUUCUGAUUAUCAUCUGGUUACUAAUCCAAAGCAAGUGAUCGGUAUUGUUUUGUUUGCCUCAGGUUUCAGGGUUACAGUGUUUGAUGGUUCAGAGGAGACAUAUGACAGAGUCAUAUUUGGUGUCCACGCACCUGAUGCUCUAAAGAUUCUAGGAGCUGAAGCAACACACGAAGAAUUGAGAAUCCUAGGAGCUUUUCAGUAUGUCUACAGGUAAUGCAUGCUAUGCACCUAUAGAUCUAGGUUUGUUUGGUUGGAUCUGAUCUCCAUCUGCACCUUCACUGCAGUGAUAUAUACCUCCAUUCCGAUAAAAGCUUGAUGCCACGGAGUUCGUCUGCUUGGAGUUCCUGGAACUUCCUGGGCACGACAAGCAAGGGGGUUUGUGUAACCUACUGGCUAAAUCUGCUUCAGGUAGUUACCUUGCCUUAACAUGGAUAGCAGCAACUAGCAAUGUAUUUUUUGCUUAAUAUAUGUAUGUAUAUACCACUAUAUACUUUGAUUAAUAGAUCCUUACUGGAAUAUUUUCUAGAACAUAGAAUCUACAGGCAGGCCUUUUCUGGUGACACUGAAUCCUCCUCAUGUCCCAGAUCAUGUCUUGCUUAAAUGGUACACUAGCCACCCUGUCCCGUCUGUGGCUGCCGCAAAGGCUUCUCUUGAGCUUCAUCACAUUCAAGGAAACAGAGGAAUUUGGUUCUGCGGGGCAUACCAAGGUAAGUUACUCCAUCAAUUAACCUUUUAGUAAUACAUACAUGGCUUGCGUCAAGGACAUUCAAGGCGCUGAAAGACGUACAUGGCUUGCAUCAAUUAAGCUAGUGUGUCUGUUUUAUUUCAAAAUGCUGUGUGGGCUGUGUGCAUUCAAAAUGCAGAGGUUGGAAGUGAUCUCGAGAUAGUUGUAUCAAUUGAUGUAAUUGUUUUGAAACUAAUGAAAGCUUCCUUUAUAAAAAAAAAUCAAGGACACUCUGACUUUGCGGCUUUUUCUGAAAGACAAAGAAUAAUGGAUCUUUGCUGUUGGACAAUUACAAAAGUCCAGUGUCCUAGAGCAAAUGAACUACUCAUCUUUGCUGCAGUAUACUAGAUUGUGUCUUGCAGAAAAUACGUAUGCUUUUGUAGCAACAACAAAGAUCAUUUUUUAGUGCUUUCAUCAAAAGGCACCAAGUAGGAGUGUUCUCUAGCAAAAUUUGCCAACUAUUUGUAAGCAUAUCAGCAAUUAGAACACUGUAAUUAGUUCUAAAAUUUAUUUAUCUUCUGAUUGGAUAACAGGUUAUGGCUUCCAUGAAGAUGGACUCAAGGUACUGUACUACAAUCUGCGACACACAACCUGGCUACCAAUGUUUGGAUAGGAUUUUUACUUUUGUGGCUCCAUGUACAAGUAUAAAGUAUGUUGGAAUGCAAUUUUCAAUAUGACAUAGGAAUUGAUGCAUGCCUGCAGGCUGGGAAAGCUGCAGCUCAAAAUUUGCUUGGUAAGGAGAGUGGCCUUUUGGUGAACCCAAAACAGAUGAUCCCAUCGUGGUCUGAGACUGGGGCACGUCUUCUGGUAGCAAGAUUUCUUGGUCAAUAUGUAUCCGUCGGCAACUUGGUGUGAGUUGUUCAACCAAUUGACCAAUAUAUCACAAAAAUGUCUAAUUGUGACUCCUCUGACUUGAUUAAUUCUGUGUCUAGCUUGCUUGAAGAAGGAGGCACUAUGUUCAGUUUUGGUGAAGUGGGCAAACAAUGCCAUGUGAAAUCUGUCCUGCGAGUACAUGACCCCAUGUUUUACUGGAAGGUUCUCUUUUCUCUUCUCACGGUUCUGGCCCACUACUUUUGCUGGCUCUGAUCCACGUCACUUGAAAUACAUUCUUCAGGUUGCAACUGAAGCAGACCUUGGCUUGGCAGAUGCCUACAUUAACGGUUAUUUCUCAUUUGUAGACAAGAGAGAAGGUCUUCUAAAUCUUUUCCUGGUAAGAUCUUACAGUCUAGAUAGUCAAGUCAAACAAUUGGCACAUGUUUUUUUUAGGGAUCAAAUUGGUACAUGUACAUAGACAGUCCUAAUUACUUGUACAUAUAUGGUGUUGUUUCCUGUUUGAUUUUGGAUUACAUCCAUGCUACAGAUUCUCAUUGCAAACAGGGACGCAAACAAGACUAGUAGCAGUGCUGCAAGUAAAAGGUUAGUCCCCUCCAAAUUUCUCCAUUUUUAAAAUUAAAAUCAAGCAGUAUAUAUGAACUCUAGUACUAAAUUCUACAAUCAACUGCUAAGUAUUUCCUUCAAAAAAAACUGCUAAGUAAUCAUGUACACAUGUAAUUUGUAUGGCCGUCAGGGGUUGGUGGACACCCCUGCUAUUGACAGCUGGGGUUGCCUCCGCUAAAUACUUCCUGCGUCACAUAUCAAGGAAAAAUUCUGUCACACAAACACGUCAAAACAUCUCUCAACACUAUGAUCUGGUCAGUAAUGCUAGCACUUCUCAUUCUGCUUUAGGCUCCCCUCUAUGUUUGUUUACAAUACCUAUGAAAAAUUUCCCUCAUUCAUAAUGCCUCCAAAAAUUAGCAGAGUCAUUUGCUUUUCUCUAGGUUGACUAACAAUUUUGUUUCUCCUUCUGCAUUCAUUAUUUUUCUUCUAUGUUCAUGCAGAGUAAUGAAUUCUUCUCGCUUUUCCUGGAUCCAUCAAUGACUUACUCUUGCGCCAUCUUCAAGGUUUGUGUUGUGAUCAACUACCUAGUGUCGCUCGUGUGUUCGAGAGAAAGCAAAACUAGUGCCACUCGUCUCUAACUUGGUCUUCCAGCCUGUAAACAAAGUACUUUAGUACCAUCAAGUACUGAUUCUUGAUAUGUGCAUGCCUUAUAUGGUAGACGGAGGAUGAAAGCUUAGAGGCAGCCCAGCUACGGAAAGUUUGCCUCCUAAUCCACAAGGUAACAUACCGAAACUAUCAAUUUAGUUAAUACUGGUCUGACAACUAAUAAUUUCAUAUAUACUCACGCAUGCCUGAUCUGUUGGAUCACCAGUAUAUACUAUACUGGUCUGAUAGUAAAUACUUGCAUACAUGUGUGUGCUUUCAGUCCAAGGCUUUAUUUGCAUACAUGUGUAUUAUGAUUAGAUGGGUCACCAGUGUGCUUCAUGCCAAAUCGAUUGUAGGCUAAAGUGGAGCGAGAUCACCACGUUCUUGAGAUUGGUUGUGGCUGGGGCAGCUUAGCAAUCCAAUUGGUGAAGCAAACUGGUUGCAAAUACACUGGGAUCACAUUAUCAGUGGAGCAACUGAAAUAUGCACAGAGAAAAGUGAAAGAAGCUGGCUUAGAGGUUAGUGUGAAUCAGUACCCCUUUUGUUCUGCUAAUGAUUAUCUUGGUUGUUUUUAUUUUUCUUUUAAAAAAUGUUUGACAUUGAUUAUGCAUGGCAGGACCACAUAAGCUUCAUGUUGUGUGAUUACCGUCAAAUACCAACACACCGCAAAUACGACAGGAUCAUCUCUUGGUUAGUACAGUGCUUGGUACUACUAGCUGUAUAUAUAGAUUUAAUUGAUUUCUUGCAGUGUGGAGACUGCUAUAAGUAACAUAGCAGCUUGAUUCAGUUUCCUGAUAUAUAUGACUGAAAAUAUAUAACAAGGGAGCUGAUGCAUGCAUGAAAAUGUGUUGAUGGUUCAGCGAGAUGAUCGAAGGUGUUGGGCACGAAUACAUGGACGAUUUCUUCGGCUGCUGCGAGACCCUUUUGGCUCAAGAUGGCAUAUUUGUCCUGCAGGUAUCUAUAUUCUGUACACAUAAUGAACUCUCUAUAUGCAUCGUCGCAGACUCAACUGCAUGAUUUGUGAUCGACUAACUUGCACGGAUGUAGUUCAUCUCAAUCCCAGAAGAACGGUACGAGGAAUACAGGCGCAGCUCAGACUUCAUCAAAGAAUACAUCUUCCCCGGGGGCUGCAUCCCUUCGUUGGCCCGGAUCACGUCUGCCAUGUCUGCAGCAUCAAGGCUCUGGUACACAACAUCACCAGUCAUCUAUCUAUAUAAUGAUCCCUUCUGAUUAACUAUAGUAUAUGAUGAUGAUCCAAUAUGUUGGAGUGCAGCAUCGAGCACCUUGAGAACAUUGGGUACCAUUACUACCCAACGCUGAUACAGUGGAGGGACAACUUCAUGGUCAAUAAGGAGUAAGUACACAGCUUGCUACUAGCUACCAGUGCAGGCUGAUGCUGGCAUGUACUAGCAUACAUGUAUCUCUCCUUGUCUUAAUAUAUAACGCUGCAAGAGAAUACAGUGUGUUAUUCAUUCUAGCAAGGUAUAGAUUAUUAUUGAUAUUAACCAGAUUAUAAAUGUUGCUCCGAUCCUCUGCAGUGCAAUUUUGGCCCUGGGCUUCGAUGAGAAAUUCAUCCGUAUAUGGGAAUACUACUUCAUAUACUGCGCCGCUGGUUUCAAGUCACGGACACUUGGGAAUUACCAGGUAUGCGUACAGCUACGUCUGUUCAUGGAUUGAUACGAACAGUAAACAUGAAUACGAAUGGAUAUCGUAUUUUUGCAGAUUGUGUUUUCUCGCCCUGGCAACGACAAACUGAGCAACAACGGCGAUCCUUACGCAAGCUUUCCGGCAGCUAAUCAAGCUAGCUAGCUAGCUAACGAGUCUACGCCCGAUUUUUUUUGGAAGGGAUGUGAUUCAUCCGCACUACAGCAGCCAUCGUUAUUCAUUCCGUUAAUUCAAUUCCGGGCACAUGCUUCCAUGAAUGUGUGAACUCAAUGCAACAAUGCAAGGAUUUAUACGAAUGGAUAGAUAUAUAUUUUGGUGGUAGCUGAAUCAGUCGGAGCCUACACUACACUUCAACGUGAGCCCUUGAAUUCGUGAUCCAAUUGAACACGCAGUACUGUACUACUAUGUGUGUCACUAACUGAUUGUACUUGCAACCGCGGAUCAGUCCAUUGCUUCGAUCCAUCUUGACGCUCCAUCACUUUCAGUUCGCCCAUCCAAUGACGACUGGCACAUGGCCAAGCUGGGACGCAGGAGACUCGAGCAUUCACUUUCACUGGAGAUAUCGUUGUGUUGUGUGCAGCUAGCGCUGUACUGAUGGAGCCCAAGAAACGUAACGUCUAACGUGUGUUGCAUCAAUCUAGUGUUCACGGUGCAGUAAUUCCGUGUGCAGCACGUACAAGUAGUGCAACGACGUGCACAUGCAAUUCAUUGAGCCAGCACCAGUAGUCGUACCACUCGUCUCUUAUAGGACGCGGGGGGCACGUGUACACCUCUCCGUAUUCAGGUUCAGCAACCUCCACGGCUGCACCUCGUAUAUAUAUAUGUACCUGUAUAUCCAUCAGCUAGCUAGCUAGCAGCAGCAGCAGCAGCAGCAAAGAGCGAGCUAGACAGACAUGCCGGGGCUCACGACGAUGCUGGCACUGCCAUGGGCAUCAUCACCACCGGUGCCGCCGCCGGUGAAGAAGAAGCUUUGCUUCAGCACCAGCAGCAGCAGCAAGAGGACGGCGAGCGCGACGAUACCGCUGGUCAACAAGAAGCACUCCGCUUCGUCGGCACACCUCCUCCUCAGCCGCGGCCGUGCCCUAAUGGCAGCGACGGUAACGGCACCCGCCUUUUCUGACGAUGACCAGCGAAAGGAGCUGCUGCUGCGGCACCUGGGGGAGGACGGCGGGUGGGUGGAGGAGCAGAUGCUGUCGCUGCUCACCCCCGUGGACGAGGCAUGGCAGCCCGCCGAUCUCCUGCCCACCUUCGCUGCCGCCACCGCCGAGGAGCAUCGGACCCAGGUGGCGGAGCUCCAGGCCCGCGCGGCCGGCGUGCCCGACGAGCUCCUCGUGUGCCUCGUGGGCAACAUGAUCACGGAGGAAGGCCUGCCCGCGUACAUGACCAUGGGGAACCGGGCGGGUGGCGGCGCCGGCAUCGUAGACGCCACCGGCUGCGACGACCACGGCUGGGCUCGCUGGCUGCGCGGCUGGACCGCCGAGGAGAACCGCCACGGCGACGUGCUCAACCGGUACCUCUACCUGUGCGGCCGCGUGGACAUGCGCCAGGUGGAGACGACGGUGCACCACCUCCUCCGCCGUGGCAUGAGCAUGCUGGAGCCCUCCUGCCCCUACCACGGCUUCAUCUACGGCGCCUUCCAGGAGCGCGCCACCUUCGUCUCCCACGCCCACACGGGCAAGCGCGCGGCGCUCCACGGGGACGCCUGCCUCGCCAAGCUCUGCGGGGUCAUCGCCGCCGACGAGAAGCGCCACGAGGUCGCCUACACGAGGGUCGUCGCCAGGUCCUUGGAGGGCGACCCGGACGGCGUGGUGCGGGCGCUCGCGGCCGUGAUGCGAGCCAAGGUCACCAUGCCCGGCGAGCGCAUGACAGACGGACGCGACGACAACCUCUUCGAUCACUUCUCAGCGGUGGCGCAGCGCGCGGGGGUGUACACGGCGGCGGACUACGGCGACAUGGUGGAGCACUUCGUGCGCAGGUGGAAGGUGGCGGAGCUCGAGGGGCUGUCCGGCGAGGGGCGGCGCGCGCAAGACUACGUGUGCGGGCUGCCGCGUAAGAUCCGCAGGAUGGAGGAGCUGGCCCACGACCGCGCGGCCCAAAAGGAGGCCCAAUCCGUCAAUAUCAGCUGGGUGUUCGACAGGCCCGUUCGUCUGCACUGAAGGAAAGUCGAAGGCCAUCUCCUCAACUGAACAAGGCCCAAUUACUAGUACUGGAGUAUAUUGUAACUGAGCUUAUGCACUGUACAACUAUAAAUGUGCAGCUCUAAGAUCACAAACUUUAAAUAUGUACAUAUAUAAGACCUAGUAAGUUUCCAUGAUAAAUAAAGCUUGAAUAAUUAUUACUAUAUACUCCCUUCAUUCCGAAUUAUAAAUCAUUCCAAAAAUCUUGGAGAGCCAAAACAUCUCAAGUUUGACUAAAUUUUAAUGAUAACAUAAUAACGUUUAUGACACCAACUAAGUACCAUUAGGUUCUUCAUUAGUUAUAUUUUCAUAUUAAUAUCUAUUUGAUGUCAUAAAUCUUUCUAAUUUCUUCUAUAAUGGUGGUCAAACUUGAGAUGCUUUGACUCUUCAAGAUUCUUGAAUUGGGAUGGAGGGAGUAUAUAAGAAUGAAAUUGUUGUUAGCCUCUUGUUGAUUUGCAGGAUUCAUUUGGUCCUAAAGACCGAUUUCAACCGUGCAACUAUAUGUUUACAUGUAUCAAAUCACUGGGUGUAGUGUGCUAAAAUCAGAUCCACCCAUACAUCCCUAACGCAACGAAACUCUACAGACAAAUUAUAACUCUGAGAGUACAACACCUUCGCACAGGUUCAUUACUUGUAUUUCUCCAUUAUCCUUCGGGCCUCUUCGACAGGGUCUUCCGAUGGGUCGCCCAUUGCUUCAUCCAACCUAGAGCUGGAGGCCUCCUUUGGGUUCAUAGCCAGGAAGCCGAGAUAUAUGAGGCCCAUCAUUGCCUGCGACCAGAAGACCCAUCAUUUGGUGCUAUCAAGUACCAUCAAAACUGAACCGCAAAAGACUGGAAUGUAUAAUGGAUGGCCUUUAGCUCUCGCAAAUAUGACAGUUAUUGGAAGUGCAGGGUACAUUUGCUAUUUGUCAGUCAAUAUUAAGCACAGCACAUUGAUCAUCAACAGCAGGAGAAUCAGACCGCAAAUGUAGCAAUUGCUUACCAGAACAAAUAAUGCAGUGGACACAACGGAUUUAACAAGGAAAAGGGCCACUGCCAUAGCGGCAAAGGUAACACCUAUCCUAGCAAUUGGUCGUGGAACUGAACCCUGUGACACAUAAGAGGGGGAUAAUCAGUCCAAUUUCAAAUCUUAAAGAAAAAGCAGAACAAGAGUUUCUUGUUGUCAGUACAUUUUCUUGAGAUCAAAACUUCAGGGGAAAAAACAUUUUCUUCAGAGCUAAGAGGAUGAUAGUUUAAGCGAUAUGAAUGGCCAAGGAAUACAUACUGGGACAAGAUUACUUCCUGCCUCCACAGCAUCGUUACCAACCCUCCAUGCUGUUUGAACAGCUGUUAUCAUAUAUGUAGUGUUAAGAGAAUAGCAGAAUAAGUUUUUUUUUUGAUAUAUUUCAUUACGCUAAAAAAUACCAGUCAGCAUAUCCUGCUCCUAGUCCUAGAAGGAUAAUAAAACUACAGAGGCCUCCAUAGAAAUAUAUAUGUAACCCAACAUGAGGACAGUUUACAAAGUAUACAGAUAAUUUCAUCAGGUACAAAAUCAAUGAAGAGUCAGCAGGCAAGACAAUAUUAGGUAUAGUAAAUGGUGCCAUUUUAGGUUAGCAUUCAGUACAGUUUGCAGCUCAUAUUUGAUGCUUGGUCCUAAACCCUGAAAGCUGAGCGCAGGAGCAGCAAUGCAUCCUGAGAGGUGACAAGGAGUGAAGAGGGGGAGUUUUAGUAUUGUACCAGAAUCAGACUAUUGUUUGUUUGAUGUGCCAGGAAGCUAGAAAUAACAAACCAACGAACGUCUGACAUGAGGUGUUAACUGUGUCUAGUUUGCCAGUGGCCCUUAACAUGACAACCUAACACAAUACUAUACUAGCACAAUUAGCGUCAUCUUAGUGCAUGGAUAUGGAAUGGAAUCACAGAACCCUGCAAACAUACAUCAGCUGAGCCAUGUUGUCUGUUAAUCUGCAGUGGGUGAGCAGACAAUGCAUCGAUGAUUGCUUGUGACUUCAGAAGCGAUUUCAAGAUUUGCAAGUUGAAUAAAUAAAUUGUUUCGAUGAUUGCUUGUGACUUCAGAAGCGAUUUCGAGAUUUGCAUGUUGCGACCACAAUCUAUGGAUUAGUUGUGACGACAAGCAGACACAGUCACACAAGUGAUGCUGCCAGGUUAAAUAAAUAAAAUUGUUUCAGAUGUAUAUAGUUUGGUAUAUAAUAAUAGUACUACUAAUUUUGCAGUUAGGAAGAAUGCCCCACCUGGCAGCUGAAACAAAAUAAUGGCAUCCAAGUCGUCCUCGCAAGUCGCAACAACAAGAGAAGAGAAAAUACGUGAGGUACGGUACCUCUGGAGAAAUCGAACUGCGCAGAGGCGGCGACGAGGCGCGGCUUGUGGGGGAUGGUACUAGGAGGCGGCGCCUGCCGUGGCAUGUGGAUGCAGAUAGGGGCCGCGAACGGAGGGAGCGGAGAGGCUAAGACUCUCUGGCGGGAGGCGGUCGACGGGAGCCAGGCGGCCGCCGCGGUCGUGGCCAUGGCCAUGGCGGGGGCGGAGAGUCGGAGAGAGCCUGUGCGGUGCCGGUGCGCCAGUGCCCGGAGGCCGGAGGUCAGCACGGACGGUCACGGAACGGAACUGGGAUAGGGCUGAGCCGCUGGGCUGUCAACGAGCCGAACUCGAGCGAGCCUCGUUUGAACUUCGAGCUCGGCUCUAGUAAGCUUUCCUCAAUCAGCUCCAGCCUCCGGCUGCUGUUUAUAUGGUAUAUAAUUUUUUUUGUGUGUGAAAUCUUUCUCCAGAACCAAAUCAAUACUAGUCCAAACUCCAAAGAGAACUGUGGCCUUGUUUAGUUCAUUCACCGUCACAUCAAAUCUUUAGACGUAUGCAUAGAGUAUUAAAUAUAGACGAAAAUAAAAACUAAUUGCACAGUUUGGUCGAAAUUGACAAGACGAAUGUUUUGAGCCUAGUUAAUCCAUGAUUGGAUAAUAUUUAUCAAAUACAAACAAAAUGCUACAGUGUCAAUUUCUCAAAACUUUUUGGAACUAAACAAGGCUGCACAUUCCAAAUUAUACAUCAGUUUAAAACAGUCUCAUGGCUUUAAAAAAAAGUUAUCAUGGCCAAGUGCUUGCAACAAACCAGUAUUGCAUUACCUCCUCGGAUUUGGUAUUGGUAUCAUCCGAGGUUUCCCAACUCCAGGCAGUCAAAGAAAAAAAGAACUCCGAGCAGUCAAAUUUUAAUAUAGUGAAGGCUGCGCCAGAGAAGCUUAUAAACGAUUCAAAGUAAGCAAUUUCUUGAUACCGAAAAGAUGAUCCGUGAUGUUGCCAUACAUAGGUUACUAGCAGGUUUAGGUAGCAGUGUUCCUUUCAGUCCAGAAAUUUCUAUUUUUCAGAAGAGAGAAGAAAAAAAGCUGCCACGAUACUCAGGUAUACAAACAUACCUAGAGAUGAAGACACGGAUGAGUAAAACAUUUCUAGGGUCUAUACUGCGUCAACAAAUUAAUUACAAAUUUCUGGAACAAAACAUAUUCAUGAACACACAAAUAGGAUGUACUAAAUCUUGCAACAACACAAUGCAGUCCAUUUUGCAAAUGAGGAAAAGGAGAGCUACUACCAUAGAAUUAGACCCUACAACUCCCCUGCUUACGCUCAAAGAGGCGGCGCAUGAGGUAGAUCUGCACAACGCUGGCUGCAACAAGGCCAGCUGAUUCAAAGAGUGCCUUGUGAACUAUCCUCCUGCUCAUGUUAUCGUUUACUGCAUCAUGGUAUGGAAGGAAGACAUUGCAACUUUAGCAACAAUACUGAGCUGGUAGCUGAUAAGUCAUGGAAACAAGUACUAUGCAUCGGAAGAGCCUAACCAAACGUAAGUGUAGAAAGAGCCCAGCGCGCACUCCACGGUGCCCACGCACCCGCAGAGCAUGCUCGUCCGUGUAUUCACGCACUUGUCCACGCACUCACCUGCUUAGGCUUGGCCUAGGCCUCUGUUGUAAUUUAUAUAUGUAGAACACCUGAGAUCAAUAGAAUUGUUUGUUGAUCAAUCUUUCUUUCUACAUGGUAUCAUCGUCCAUGGUUCAUCUUAUAAAACCCUUCGCCACCACUUCUACAAUAAUGGUGUUGUCUCCCUCGGACUCUACUGCUUCCGCUAACGACAAUCUCCACGUCGACCAGGCCUCCGCCGCCAACCUCCUAGAGGUCUCCAUUUGCUCCCACAUCCUGAUCACGCAGGACAUUGACGAGGCCAACUAUGGCCAAUGGCGCUGCUUCUUCGACUCCACGCUUGGCAAGUUCGGCCUUAAGAGCCAUGUUCAGUCGCCGACCCCGUCCGAGGAUUGUGACGACGAGUGGCGCAUGGUCGACUCCUGCAUCGUCAACUAGAUCUUCACCACUAUCUUUGACAUUGUUUGUCGGUCGUGCACUGCCGACAUUAUCUCUGUGGCACGCCAUCAAGGGCAUCUUCCUCGAUAACGAGCUGCAGCACGCGAUCUACCUCGAGGCCAGACCGUGCUCCACGCAGUAGGGUGACCUAUCGAUCAACGACUACUACACCAAGCUCAACCGCCUCACCGAUCAACUCCACGACAUCGGUCACCCCGUCUUCAAGCUGAGCUAGGUGCUGAAUCUCCUCCGAGGUCUCAACCCUUGUUACUGUUAUGUUAAGCGGAACAUCACCUCCAAAUUCCCGCCACACACCUUCAUGAGUGCACGCUCCUUUCUCAUCCUUGAGGAGCUAAGUGCCCAACACGAUGCCAAUGUCAAAGCCACGCAGGCUCUCGCCACCACCCAUGGAGGAGCUACUCUUCUCCUUUCUCAUCAUACCUAAGGUCUCCCCCAUGGGUGGCAACAAGAGCUUACCCGGCUUCGAUGUUGGCGUCAUGUUGGGCACUUAGCUCCUACAGGAUGAGAAAGCACUGUGCACUCUUGAAGGUGUGCGGCAGGAAUUUGGAAGUGAUGAACGUCUUGACGUAGCGGUAACGAGGGUUGAGACCUCAGAGGAGAUUCAACACUUGGCUCGACUUGGAGAUGGGGUGGCCGAUGUAGCAAAGUUGAUCGGCACGCUUGAGCUUGGUGCACUAGUCAUUGAUCAAUAGGUCGCCCUGCUGCGUGGAGCACGGUCUGGCCUCGAGGUAGACCACGCAUUGUAGCUCGUUAUUGAGGAAGAGGCCCUCGAUAGUGUGCCACAGAGAGAAGUCGGUGGUGCGCAGCUGACGAAUGAUGUCAAAGACAGCCUUAGGACAGAGGUAAGAUCCAGUUGACAGUGCAGGAGUCAACCAUGCGCCACUCAUCAUCAUGCUCGACGGACAGGGUCGGCGACAGGACAUGGCUCUAGAGACCAAACUUGCUGAGUGCGGAGUCGAAGAAGCAAUGCCAUUGGCCAUAGUUGGCCUCGUCAAUGUCCAACAUGACGGGGAUGUGAGAGCGGAUAGAGACUGCAUAGAGGGCGACAGCGGAGACUGGGUCGAUAGGGAGAUCAUCGGAAGAGGAAGUAGCAGAGUGUGAGGGAGACAACGCCAUUGAUGCAGAAGCGGUGGAGAAGGGAUUGAUAAAAUGAUCCUUUGACUCUGAUACCAUGUAGAAAGGAAGAAUGAUCAACCAACAAUUGUAUUGAUCUCAAGUGUUGUACAUAUAUAAAUUACAAUAAUGGCCAGAGGCCAAGUCUAAGCAGACGAGUGCAUGGAUAGACAUGGGCACUGUGGAGUGCGUGGCAUGCGUUUGACUGAAGAAUAGGAGAGCUCUAGCCAUUGGAGGUGUUCUGCUAACAGUAAGGUUCACACAAAAGGAUUGGGCAUGCACUCUUGUGUUCUCAUGGCGCUUAUAGUGGAGGAGCUAGAUAUGCAUCCCCAAUUUGUUAAUAUAUCCAAUGACUCUAGUUGAACAUAGCUGUGCAACCUUUUGCUUGAAUUGUAGGUUAAACAUGUUAAUGCGGGACAAACGAAUGUUCUGAGAAGUAUUGCAUAUGUAUGUAUUUGAAAAGGGCGAUAGAAAGGAUAUCAUGGACAAGGAUAACAUAUUACAACUCAUUAGUACUUCGACAAGAGACCAUGACAAGAGUGGCUUACAUAUUGCUUCGCGGUCUGUUUGGGCCUCAAGCCAAUGUUGUUCGAAUUGAAUGUUAUAGAGGGCUUCAUCCAACUUCGCGAUUUGUUCGAAUAAAGGGCUAAAAUGCUAUGCAUUUUUUUGGAGAUGAAUAGGGAUCAACAGACACUUUUCUUGUUAGACAACGUAAAAGGAUAUAGAAACUCAAGUCGUACCAUCUUUAGCAUGUUGGUCAGAAUAUGAUAAAUGGCCAACAUGCACAUCGAAGUCCACAGUUUCAUGAUACGGUGACUUAUUAGUGAAGCAAAAGUGAUGGACUGCCCUCUUGUGAACUAUGAAUUCAAACUUGUCACUAGUCUUGUCACAACAAUCAUGGAUUUGAUCACCUCUAGGAUCUUUAACCUACCAUAAAUCAAGAUCAAAUCAGCUUUAUAGUGGAUCUGGUCAAUAAAUAAUAAAUUUCUUAAUUAGUAGAAAUGGUAAUAACUGUAUUAUAAAGUAAUAUGAAUGAAAAGGUAAUGAAUUAAUACAGAUAUGAAUUGCCAAAACAAUAGAUCUGAAUGCAUCACUGCUUAAUAACAUUAAAUCAUGGACGCCUCAGCAUGAACUAACAGAUGAAAUAUUUGUCCAUUCUGUAUAGCUGAUCAGAUAUACAUGGGCUAAGAUACAAAACAAAUUAAUUUAUUGGAAAUCAAUCCUGAGUCCUGACUACUCUACUGACUAGUACAAUACAAUAACCGGUAACCAACCAACCCCAACCGGUCAACUGAUUCCAUCCUUAAAAGAGAGGAAUAAAGUCUAAUGCUAGAGCUUUACUACCCUCUCCAAAAGCAAAUUGGGAUCAUAGCUAAAUGAGUUGAACUAGUAGGUUGUACUGCUGACACUGAAUGGAUAGUAAGAUGUCAACUACAUUUUGUGCCCACUGCCCACCUUGUUAUUUCUGAUUUAUUAUGCUGAAUCUAAAUGUUUUCACUGUCAAACAAAAACAACUGUAACUGUAAACUUGAAAGCAGACAAACUUUUACCACAGAUUCUAAACCUGCUGGGUACAGUACAGACUACAGAGAACGAAGAUGAGGAAGAGAUGCCAUACCACAAGAUCGACGCCAUCCUGGGUAUAAUGCCACGGCGUCUCGGCCUUGAUGACAACGAAGGAUGCGUGGACCAUAUCCCCUUGGUACUCAACGUGGUGGGAGAAGCACUCCGCCCGGUCGAUCACGAAGCGGAUAGUCGCAGCAUUAUGCAAGAAAGGCACGAGACAGAUGAGUAGCAAGCAUCCAAUCCGAGGCUCGCCACCGCCAUUGUUUCACUGCCAGAAUCACAAUGCAAUCAAAACAGACCACGUCCGAUCAGAAUUUCUCAAGGAUAGGUGAAUCAUUAUAGCUACCCGCAAGUAGCACAGGCUACAGAGAUCGUGUACUAAUUGGCAAGAUAUAGAUUCUGGAGAACAGAACAGACACUCCCACUCAGCCACUCUCCCUACGAGGUGAAGGAAGCCAACCCAAAUCUAGACGGACGGAGGAAGACGACGGAUCUGCAGCGCGAGAGGUGCAGGAGAAUGGGAAAGGCGGAUCUGGGAGGAGGCCGAAGGGUGGAGGCGCGUCGAGAGCUGGCCUUGGACACGGUCUGAGAAAACACAAGCUUUACCCGCCUCCUCCGUAGAGCUUCACUGAAUCAAGCGGUUUUGCGGGAUUAGAGAGCAUGGGACCUUGUAUUUUCGUUGGGCUAACGGCUUCUCCAGCUCGAACUUGUGUACUUUUACGGACGAGAAAGGUGUGGGAACCCUUGUAAGUGUCACUUAAGCUAGAAAGUGAGUUGAUUUUGGCUAUCAGGGGAUCCAGAUUGAGUGAUUUUCCUAUGUAAAGUCACAAUGUAACUUUUUUUCAAUCUCUGCCCUUCAAAUUAGAUCCAAAGGCUAUCCUUCCUCUCAACUUGGGGCCCAUCCAUCAGCCACUGUUAGCUUCCAACACAGCGAGCAUGGUCGUCUUCUGCACAGCCACAUCAACUGGCUAGGACGACCCGCCGUAGGUGCCGCCUGCCAACAUAGGGUCGAUGAUGCGUUGUUGCGGCGCUGGAGGUGUGUACCUGAGGCGGCGUUGCUCGGCUAGAGAGCGGCCCCUCUACGGCGGCGCUUGGUUAGGACGCAUCUGACUGUGGAGAUGGCACUACAGGCACGCUCGCACGGCCAAGGGUGCAUCCACGUGGCGGUGACGCUCGACCGGGGCACAUCCUCGAGGCGGUGGCGCUCAGACGGAGACACAUCUGCGCGUGGAGAUGGCACUGUAGGCACGCUCGUGCGGUAGGGGCGCGUCCUCGAGACGACGACGCUCAGGCCAGGACACAUCUGCCCAUGGAGAUCACACUGCAUGCACACUCGCACGCCUAGGGGCACCGCUCCAUGGCAGGCGGCGCGUCUACAACGGUAGCGUGUCCGCGCGGAGACGAGGACCAACCACGACAGCGCACGGAGAGCAUACCGAGAAUGCGUUCUAGAUGUUGGUGCUCUGGUGGCCUCUUCCUCGGUCUCCAAUUAGUGCGGCCCUCGUCCCUUCUCUUCCGUCGCGCAACAAGAAGAGCACGAUUCCACGUCAGGGCUGCUGCCAGCUUGCCAUGCUGUCUCUCCCUUGCUUUCCUCCUCGGUCUCCAAUUAGUGCUGCCAGCUUGCUUUCCUUCUACGGACUGUGCAUCCGGCGUUGUGACUCUCUCCUGCACUAGUAUGUGCCUGCGCAGCCACCGCCGUCGCCGUUUGAGACAUGGACGUCGCAUGGAUGACGAUCGAGCUAGGCCUACGGUAGUACAUGCCUGCGCGACAGUGCUGUUGGACAGCCGGAGAAGCGCACGUAGAGCCACGGAGGUCUGGCGCGAUGAAUGGAGCGUUCAAGUCUUUGAUCCGGUCGUGUGGCCGUGCAGGAUGUCGCAUCGCACGAAAGAAGAAACCACCUUGAAUCAAUCUGUCUCGUUAGAUGUUGAUUAAACGUGGAUAGCAUAGAGAAAGUUACAGUGUGACUUUCCUAAGCAAAGUCACUGAAUUUGUGUCUGUUCGCGGGCAGGACUAUCAGACAAUGGGAGACAGACCAGCCCAGCAAUCCAAAUGGGCUAGGUCCAUUGUAUAGUUCAGUUACUGGCUCAUUUAACAUUCGCUAAUAUUACCAGCUCAAAGAAUAAAGAUCAAUGUUACUUUUUUUAUCACACUACUCGGCUCUAUGGCCUUUUAUUAAUAAACGAUAGCUGAACUGAACAGUGAGCUACAGGGAUAUUUACACGAUCAGUCCAUACUAGCAUCUAGCUCGGAUCCCAUACUUUAGCUAACUGGCAGCCUCAUGCGCAAAUGAGUUACAUGAGCAAAAGCCAAAAGAUUAAAACAAAAGUAGAAGCUAACGAAUAGCUUUGAAGAUCAUUCCGCUAAGACUGAGAUCUCUAUACAAGUUGAAAGCUUCCUUUAGUUGCGAGAGAUGCCAUAUUGAUCAGCAAAAGCGCCUUGAGACAGACUGUUGCUUCAACCAUUAGACUCUGUCAUGUGCUGUGUCCCACGUUUCACAUUCAAACGCGAAAGAUUUAAAAAAAAAAAAAUCAUUAAUUGGCAAAAGAUUUUGCAGAGGCCAUAUGGGAUUUUUUUUUCCAGCGGGAACGUUGUCACCAGCAUAAUACGUACUCGGAAAAGAAAACACUCUUUCAACUCGCUCAAAAUCCUCAUUUGAAAAGCCAUUUGCGCACAAACAAACAUAAAAAGGUGGCAAUAUUUUAAAAUAUAAUUAAACAAGCUGUCAUAGGGCAUUAUCAAAAUCACUCUAUCAAUAUAUAAAGAUAUAAAGAUACUAUUAUAGUUGAUCUUAGGCAAAUAAAAACAAGGUUGCCUGGGGCACAAAAUAAUAUACUAGCUGAGACAUCGCAUAAACACUGUAAACUCUGUCUUGCAAAGUUUCUAAACAUGGUCUGGUGGACAGAAACAUAUGAAACUUGAUUCAGAAAACCACAAUACGAGUGCACAACGAUUAUCAGUUCUUCCACGUCAAAACUACAGCGCACACUCAGAAGUGGAUAAUCUAGGUCAUCCGCUGAGCAGCCUCCUUGGCGAUCAGCUUUUCCCUAGCCUUGGUCUUGGCCUGCGACUUGGAGCCCAUGAUACCACCUCCCCACUUCUUCCUCACCUCAUCGAACUUGUCGUUGAAGUUUGCCUGCAGGGUGCAUUUUUAGAAUCACCUCAUCAGGGGAAGCAUAACUAAAGGGUAUCAAGAUUAUUCUGCAAUAUGUCAUAUUUUCAUACCUUAAUAGCCUCCAAGAUCUUGCUGAACUCAAGCUUGUCCUCGUUCUUGACAGUGGUCAGACACAAGACUGAUGCAGUCUUCUUGUGAACAAUCUGCAUACGAUUAAUACCAGAGUCAGCCUUAUUGUUUCAGAUACCACGAUAGAUAUAGCAAGUUCAGAACAGAUACCACAAUAGAUGUAGCAAGUUCAGAACAGCAUGGGUGUGAAACAUACCGAUCCAAGGCGAGCCUUUCCUUUAACAAUGCAGUAAGGGACCUCCAUCUUCCUGCACAGGGCUGGAAGCCACACAACCAGUUCAAUCGGAUCCACAUCAUGAGCGAUGACAACAAGCUGAGCCUUGUUCUGCACAAAUUCAUACAUUCAGUUGAUUACCAUUGAAGUUGCCAUAAAAGUAUUGCAUAGUGACUACACCCAGUAUUGAAGUCAUGAAACAAAGAAGUGCCAAGUCAUACCUGCUCAAUGAGGUAAGUCACAUGGUUAAGGCCAUACUUAACAACAAUUGGUUUCUUGGCUUCAACAGUUUUUCCUUCAGUCUCAGCCUGAGCCCUCUUCAGAAGCCUCUCCUUCUUGGCAGCCUUGUCUUCAGGCCGGUAUUUGAGAAGCAUCUUGAACAGGUUGGUAGCUGCAAACAUUUCACAUCAUAAAUUUUCAACACCAUAAUAUACAUUGACAAAUGAAUAGGUAGCUUAUACCAUUAUAGAAAGAAGAAAACAGAUAAGGUGUAAUUAAGUAACUGCAUAGUUCUAACGUAGCAGCCAGUUAACUUAAUCAAGAACACAUGAGUGCAUUCAGUGUCUUAUCAAUUCCCCUGAUAGGUGAGAUGGUAAUACAUCAUUCUUUAGUCUUUCAGUAAAUUAGAUGAAUGCUUAUCCACUAAUUUUAGCAGGAUGGUGUUCGAUCAUGUUUACAGGUGAAUAUCAGAGGCAUGACUAGACAUGCUUCUAGCCACUAUUAUGUCACAAUGUAACACUAAAUGAAUUUAGGCACACUGAUGAGAGGCCCGACCCUAAAAAACUCUUGCAAAGCCUCGUCACCUAAUUAAGGUUCCCAAAGAUGUAAAUGGCAAGCCUAAUGGCACUAUGGCCAAAAUAAUGCAAGACAACAGUAACUGGAACUUAUAAAGCAUAUUUGCAUACAUCAAACAGUUGGUUAUUAAUCUACUGUGCAAGUGAAAUAGAACAGGUUUCUGCAACAAAUCAAGACUUUGCAAUUGAAGGUGAUACUUCUACUAUUUCUUAGAAACCUAGCACUCUCAGUAAACAGGAGGAAUAAGUUCUGUUCAUACCGAGGUUCUUGUCGAGGGUGCGGGUGAACUGGUUGAGCGCCGGUGGCACCUUGAGGCGCUGCUUGAGGAUGCGGCGCUGGCGCUGGAUGCGGACGACCUUGGGCCACUUGACGAACCGGUGCAGGUCCUUCUUGGGCGGCAACGCGCCGCCGAUGCCGAACUGCUUCGGCCUCUUCUCGAACAGAGGGUUCACCACUUUAUCCUGCACCCAGCCAGACCCAACACAGUCAGAACACGCAUCCCAACCAUGGCGCCGCACACAUCUCGAGCAAGAACGCGGGAAAGCGCAAUACAUACCGUCUUCUUCUUGGCCGGCACAGGCGCCCUGCCACCUCGCUUCGGGGCCUGCAGAUUUGUAAGUCGAACUCUUAGCACAUUACAUGAAUCAUACAAAGAUAUGCAGCAAGUUAACAUCAUAAGCAUCAUAAGCAUGUGCCCCCAAGAUCCACGAAACAAGAUUGAAAUAUAACCAAAGAAUAUCCGAAACAUCCCAGGUUUUUUCCACAUGGAAGAGAUUGGAUCAAUGGAAAUCCGAAAGCACAAGCAGAAGAUAGGCGGCGAGACCGCACGCACCAUUUCGCCGGAGGGGAGCUUGGCGUUCCGAACGGGAGACGACGGCGGCGCGAGGUAGGGGGAGGAGGCGGCUAGAGGCGCUUGGAGGCGGAGAGGUGGUUCUAUAAAGGAUGACUCGCGCCGAGCUGGACGCACCCUGGCCGUCGGAUGCUAGGUGGACAAGCAAGCAUCCCGGUCUCGGCCGUCCGGUGCUGGGAUUAGGGUUUAGGCGAAGCCACUUGGGCCGCACACGAGAGAAAGGUAGGUGGGCCUCCAUGCGCUGGGCCGUUCGUAGUAUCCGUGGUUUCUGUUUGAGCCCAUUUGUUUGGCACUUUUCAUUUUUCAAAGAAAAUAGUCUAUUUUUCCUCCCCAACUUUCACGAAAGCCCGUUUUUCCUCCCUCAAUUCUAAAAUCGGGCAAAUCAUCUCUCUUAACUUUUUAAACCAUACAAUUUACCUCUCUUGAGCGGUUUUGAAGGCAGUUUUGCUACAGUGAAUAGUGGUUUACUACCGUAACUGUGGUUUGUAUUUUUAUUUUUAAAUUAUUUCGGGUGAAUCUUUGAAAAAUAUAGUAAAUCACAGAAAGAUUAUAAAAUAGAAAAUCUAAUUUUUUUAGGAGUUCAUAUAAGUAGAUCUAUAUAGUAAACAUAUAAUGGUAUGCUUUAGUACAAAGUUUUUGCUAUAAAGGUUUUGUCCUUUUAUUUUAUUUAUUUAUUUGGAUGAAUCUUUGAAAAAUCAUAGUAAAACAUAGAGAAAUCAUAAAAUAGAAAAUAUAAUUUUCUUAUACUCUAGUUUAUAGUAAGUUUAUGUGUUGCAGAGAGUCUCUAGUCUUUUGUUGUGUUUAUUAUCAAAAGUCAACCUGAGUGUGGCCUACUUGUCUACAAAACUGCAUUUGUGGUGUUAAUUUAUUGUGAAAAAAAUAUGUCAUGGCUGAAAAGUAGUGUCGAUAAGUUCAAGCGACCAGGGCGUAACAUCUCCUUCAAGCUUAUGUAUGUUGACUUUGUGGUUCAAUUGACAGGUUCUUCCCCUAAAAGAAAUUUGUAGACAGCUAUAUUUUUUUGUUAUUCCAUUAUUAGAGGUGUAACUUCUUAGAAGCAAUAUUAUUUCAUUAUGCAUUGACAUCUUUCAUACUGCUCUGUUUCUAUUGCUUUCUCUUCCUAAAACGUUUUCUGUGCAGCUGCUGAGGUAAUCACAAACUGAAUUAUGCCCGCAUUGUUACCAAAAAAAGCUCUUUUACAUAGUCUUCCUUCAGCUUUUUGAUGGAGCUAUAGCUAACAAAACAAGGUGUCUCCGAGCAUCCACCAACCUUUUGACUCUAGAAGAUUCAAUAUUAAAAAUAAGGAAGGGAGCAUCUCCUCAAAUUUUAAGUUGAUGCUAUCUCAUUGGCGGUCCAAGUGCUCCAAACGCUGAUGGGUAAUAAUUUAAACAAAAUUUAUUUAGAAAGACAAGAUUAAGCAACUGUAUCAAGGUCCAUAUCUGCAUAUUAUUCUCCUAUCUUGAUGUAGUGAAAACAUGUCUCUUACAAGUUACCAUUGCAAAGAUAAUACUUUUUCUACAUCUCUAAACUUAAUGCCUCUAGUUUUUUCUAUGAUCUUUGAUUAAUUGAGCUAGAAAAUUGACAAACUAUGUUGUAUUACAUGUAUUAAAGACAUUGGAGACAAUUUACCAAAAUGACAAUUCUAUGUUUGUCUUUGGAUGUUCAAAGAGUGUCACCUAUAUUUUUAUCUAAUUAUGUCAAUAUGGUACUGUAUAACUGAUUAGGUACAACCCCAUUAGCUUGUCUGAAAAUUUAUUGUUGAAAGUACUGUUCGCUGUUUUAUUGCGAGAGAAAAACACUACGGGAUGGCUGACAGAAUUCGGCUGAUAAGCUGUUUUCCAUGAUGUUUGAUUAAUUGAGCUAGAAAAUUGAUAAACUAUGUUGUAUUACAUGUAUACUCAGAAUGGAUAUAAAUUUUGUGAAGAAUAAUAAGUUUAUAUUGCCAUUUUUAUUUGUAAACUUUUUGUAAAAAUGAUGAACUGAUGCUCUAAUAUUUUGUUGUUAUUAAGUAUGUAAUAAGAAUCAUAGAAAACCAGAACUGGGGUAUCAGAACGAAGCAACCAAAUCAGGUGAAAUCAAAUGAAGCUGCUUGUAAUUGUAACAAGGACGGGAAACCUGCCUAGCAAUUGGGAAACCUGCCUAGCAGGCCCUGGGCGUCCAGCCAACUAAGCCUUGAAUUCUAGGAGACCUUUUACCAUUCCCAUUUUUUUCUCGGUCAAAACACCAAGAAUGUAGGACCUGUUUGGCAUAGCUCAACUUCACUAGUAAAGCUGUUUUUUUAGAAAAUAGCUUCCUGAGUGACUUUCUAGAUGAAGCUGAGCUGUUUUGGAAAAAGUGUUUGGCAAAAUAGCUUCAUAAACUACUUCAUGCAUAGUUGAGAGAGAGAGCUACAAUAAGCUACUUUUUUCAACUUUAUCCCAACUUAUGUCUUUGUGAGAGGAGGGUUCACCCAUAAAGCUGUUUUGGAAAUAAGUGUUUGACAAAAAAAAGCAACUCAUGAAGUUGUUGUGAGCUGUACCAAACAGUCUCGUAGUAUACAACUUGAAUUCAUUUUCUCUCUCUAAAUUAAUAUAAAAAGCUCAAGGUAAUGCAAUGUUUAAAAUAUUGACUCCUUUUAAGAUGAGACAUAAUCCUCUAUUUUGACAAAUUGAUAACAGCAUUGUAGCCUUGCUCUACAGGACGUAGCAUUUCUACUUCUAGGCUCUUGGAAUGUUCAACAUGUUCCUCAUGGCUAACAAAUUCUUCUUCGAAAUGAAUUUGUCACUAACAAAUUCUUCAUGUGAGGGCACAACAUACAUCAUAUAUACCACCAAUAUAUAUGCCAAUUGCCAUCAACAUGUCAAGAUUACUUAAGCACUCCUCAACAAAAGCUAGAGCGCAAGAACUCAUCAACUGCUACGACGCACGAACCAGCUAUGGCGGUUGGCAUCUACGUACAUGGUUUUGCACACGAUUCAUAUCAGUAUUCAGUACACAAGACUAUACUCAUCUCCCGUGCAGAUCGGCGUGAGAUCAAGCACCGUCGUCACCUGACCUCCUAGCUAUGCUAGGACCGGCCGACGAGGAGAGGCCGGGCGGGGACGAGCAGCCGGCCGUACGCGGAGUGGCCCCUGACAAGGCCGCACCUCGCCACGGUCGUCGCCGCCGCCUGGCCAGCCGCGUCCUCCUCCUCGAUCUGCUCCAGCACCCGCACGAAGGCGUCGGCGUCGCACGGCAGCGCGAGCGGGCCGGCGGCCGCGUACCCGAACACGUCCUCGGCCUCCUCCAGCAGCGCCCGAAACAGCGGGUGGUUCACGCACUCCGUCCGGACCAUGAAGCGCUGCCGCCCCGCGCCGACGCACACCGUGAAGCACCCCUCCGGCGCCGGCGCCGGCUUGCUCCUCCGCGCGCUGCGGCACCGGUCCAGCGUCUUCAUGAUGAGCCCCGCCGGCUUCCUUCCUUUCUCCGGCAUGGUAGUGGGCACGCGUCAAUCACAAGACUUGGGCACCUGGCUACUUAGCAAAGCUACAGCUAGCGAAAGGUGAAAUCAAUGUUAGUGGUCACAAGAAUGAGAAGGUGCGUGAGAGGAAUAUAUAUAUAUAUAUAUAUAUAUAUAUAUAUAUAUAUAUAUAUAUAUAUAUAUAUAUAUAUAUAUAUAUACACACACACACGUAGAGACAAGAUGUUUAGUGAACCUAGAGAGAGAAAGGGUCUUGAUCAAGAGGCUGUUUUUAUAUAUAAGGCCUUGUUUAGUUCCCAACAAAUUUUGCAAAAAUUUUCAAAUUUCCCAUCACAUGGAAUCUUAGACACAUGUAUGGAGUAUUAAAUAUAGACAAAAAUAAAAACUAAUUGCACAGUUUGAUCAAAAUUGACGAGACGAAUCUUUUAAGUCUAGUUAGUCCAUAAUUUGAUAUUAUUUAUCAAAUACAAACGAAAGUGCUACGGUGUCGAUUUCCCAAAAAAAUUUGAAACUAAACAAGGCCUAAGAUUAUUAGGGGCUCCAUGAGAGAGAGGGAGGCUCUAUAGUUGUUUACUAUACGUACACAAAUUGCAUAUAGAAUUGCACACUUCAACUUGUAGGUUGUAGCGCAUAGUACGUGCAUAGUAUAGUACAAUUGUUAGGGUACGGUUUGGCUGUUUCGGAAGGGUAAACAACUACACCAGGAGCCGAGCCGGAGCCGGAGAUAUAUAAUCCAUGCAACGCAUGAGUCAUGACAUCAAGCAUGGCCGACUCUCGAGAGGCCGGGGUCAGUUCAUGGCGCAUCAGCGCAAUAAUGCAGUACAUUAGCUAGAGGCAGGUUGACCCCUCUCGGACGCUGUGCGUGCAUGAUUGCCAUUAGUUUGGAGAGGUGUCGAACUCCCCCAACCACAGGGGUUGUUUAGCUUAAUUAGCAACCGUCUGCGCCUUCUCUGAUUUUCACCAACGCAACAAACGCUCCAAAACGUCAGCAUCCUUCUUGCAGAUUUGUUUUAUGGUUCCAGUAGUCCUUAGCCUUCAUCAUGACAACACACUCUACAGCCCUGUUUAGAUUCAAAAAUAUUUUGGAUUUUGUCACUGUAGCACUUUCAUUUUUAUCUGACAAACAUUAUUCAAUCAAAUUGGACAAAUAGUUUUUGUUUUUAAUAAUAUUUAAUGCUCCAUACAUAUAUCACAAAAUUCGAUGUGACGUGAAAUUUUGAAAAAAAAAUAGUUUUUGGAUGAAGUAAACAAGGCCUUGGCUGUCUUGUACUCUCUUUUUCGAGCAUUUCAAGUGCAUCAUUCACGCGUAAGGGAAACACUGCACUGAGUUUGGCUGCAGCAUCAUAUUCGUGCCUGCCGUAGGUACCAUGUUCAAAUCCGAGAGAAAAGACAAGACAAGAGAGCAGAGAGGUAACAAUCCUGAUGAACUUCUCAUGUUCAGCAAUCGGUUCACUUCUAUAGAAAACAUUUUUACAGGAGGUGCUAGAAGCAUCUUCAUAGGCAACCAAGCCCACCGUGAGUCACUACAAAAUAGAACAUAGUACAGGCUCAUCUAGUCAGCCGUCUGUGUACAUAUAUUUUUACAUAAGCGGCUGACUAGGUGAGCCACGUGUGAAAACCUAAUUUUCACAGGCGGCUCACACUCCACUGCCUGUGUAAAUAAUUUUUUAUAUAUAUUUUAAAUUUUAAUUUUUCCACCACACUACAGUGCUAAACAUCAUAUAUAUAUAUAUAUAUGGAAAUUCCUUUGUACACGUACGUGUAGUUACUCUCAUCUUUCAAUAAACUACAUUAUGUAUGUAUUCAUACUUGUUUAUCGGUUUGAGUAUGUUUAUAUAUUUAUAUUAAGAUACUAUAGAUCUUACCACGCGAAAACUUUUCAAAAAAAAUUAAAUGCCACUACUAUAUUAUAUACAAUAAGUAUAACCAUAUACUCUAUGUAUGUAUGUAUUUAUACUUAACAUACAUAUCACAUUAUAUGGUCUAGUAUGAUCAUAUACUUUGUCUAUAUAUAUUUUGUUCGGUCAUAUACAGCUUAAAUCUAGAGAUAUAUAGAUGAGAGUAACUACACGCGCGUGUAAAAAAAUGUGUCCUAUAUAGGGAAAUUGUCCCUAACGUAUCGUUCCCGCUGCCUUAUAAACUCACACACAUAGAACCCACAAUAGGCCGAUCCAGAUGGUUGCUCGUGGCACUAUAGAAUGAGCAACAGAUUAUUCUAAAAUUAUCAUGCCUUAUGUAUUCUUUAUAUGAUGAUAUGUGUUCGGACAACUUACCGGAUAGUGAUGUUGUAUCGUCAAUGGGACCCUAGGAUCUGAGCGUACGAAGUCGACCGGUCCUAUGUUUCUUAUAAAACCGCAAUGCCCUGUAGAUAUCGAAUAUAAAUCACUAAAGUUAUUUUAAAACUCUAAUAUAAUUCAUAUAGGUACGCAUGUGGUUGCAUGUUGGCUCACUUUCUAAUUGAACAAAAAAUGAUGAAUACUUCUCGGGAGGAAAAUAUAAGGAGUCUAGGACAAGCACCUUCCCUUCAAAGGGAUAAAUAUAAAAAAACAAUCCAAUGGUCACUGCAUGACUAAAUGAGUGAGCGACAUAUGUAUAUUGUUUACAUGAUAAUUUGAAGUACGUAUACGAAGUCAAGCUUACCUAAAGUUGUAAGAUGCUAAUAUGAAAUCUCUGUACUCAUACCUCAGCAUUGAUCUACCGAGAUAGAGGGCAUAAUCAUCCUCGUAUUUUCUUUGCAACUCUUUUAUAGCUUCUGCAACUUCUUCUGGUGUUUUGUCCUUCUCUACCUUUGCUCUAUCUUCCUUUGAUAGUACAAAUUUGUACAUAUUUUCUUGUAACUUGAUAGGGCUCAGAUAACCGACCAUCGAUCCAGUAGAUAAUAAUGACCUCUACUCGUGAUCUUGCAAACUACAGACAACAUCCACAUAGUAGAGUUUCACAGUACAUAUUAAUAAUAAAUGUGUGUGCAUGAGUGAUACUUAUAGGUACCAGAUUGUUAUGAGUUGGACGUCAAGUCAGCCUAUAGUUCAACAACAAGUGCAUGUCCUAGAAGGUAACAAAUGCCUUGCUUUUUUCCUUGCCAGCAGCAAACACGUCUGCUGGUAUAUCAACACUGAUUGUAUGGAUGCCACCAUGUGCUGCUCUCAUAUACCAGUCAUAAAACCUGUUUAUCGUCUAUUGAAUCUUAUCGAGCAGCAUCCAUGGGAGCAUAGGACUUCCGGCACAUAGUCAUUGGGACAUUGACAUAAUCAUCAAUCAUUGGCUUUCUGAUAUCCUUUAGGGUCAAUGGUUGACUUGAUGGCUGUUCGACAUGUACAUUGUAACUUGGAGCUUCUGUUGAUGGGGGCACGACUUCUGUUGACACGGCGGUGGCUUCCUUUUCCUUUGACGGUUUGAGCACAACGAGUUGUGUCGUUCGUUGCUUUCUAAGUCCUUUUAGAAAGAGAGUUGUGCCAGUUGCUUUCUCCUUUUUUUGGCUCAAAGGGAGAAAUCAAUUUUGAAAUUGGAAAUUUCUUGACCUUCUUGGAGGCCGGUGCUAAUGCGGGAGUUUGCUCAUCUUCCUUCUGCUUUGGUGGUGGAAUUUGCUCAUCCUCCUUCUCCCUUGUUGUGUCCUCCUUGGAUGGCAGAGUCUGCUGCUCACGCAUGUUCUCCUUGGCUGGCCCCUCAAGCUCAUUCAGCGAGGAUGCCAACUCAUGUAUUGGGGGAGGUUGGCGGUGACUCGUAAAUGUAUGGAGAUGCUGGAGCAUGUAUUGGUGAUGGUGGCUAUUGAUAUGUUUCGGCCGCUUGGGAUGGUUGAGGCACUAUGCUUGGAGAGGGUGGCGCUGGUGGAUCAAUCAACCUGAUGUACCGUCUCGGCCAUUGUAUGAAGUUGUUGAUUGCUUGUCUAAGCUUCUCUAUACCCUCAGAGGUCGGGAUGUCUAUAAAGUCGUCUUCAUAUCCACUCUCGAGCGUCAACACUUCCACCCUAUAGUAUGCAUCUUGCAUGUCGACGGUAUGAAAUCUACGUCCUGGGAUAGCAUUACCUGUGGCCACUUGCUUUGUAUGCUGAUUCUUAAGACCAUAGGAUAUGACCAAGGAGCAAGGCCAAGGUCUAUCAAUAUCAUCAAGCUAGGCCACUGCGCAUCCGGCGUUGUGACUCUCUCCUGCACUAGUAUGUGCCUGCGCAGCCACCACCGUCGCCGUUUGAGACAUGGACGUCGCAUGGAUGACGAUCAAGCUAGGCCUAUGUUGUUGGACGGCCGGAGAAGCGCACGUAGAGGCACGGAAGUCUGGCGCGAUGAAUGGAGCGUUCAAGUCUUUGAUCCGGUCAUGCGGCCGUGCGGGAUGUUGCCUCACAUGAAAGAAGAAACCACCUUGAAUCAAUCUGUCUCGUUAGAUGUUGGUUGAACGAUGGAUAGCAUAGAGAAAGUUACAGCGUGACUUUCCUAAGCAAAGCAUAUCCGUUCGGGGGCGGGGCUGUUGGGCAAUGGGAGACAGACCAGCCCAGCAAUCCAAAUGGACUAGGUCCAUUGUCUAGUUCAGUUAGUGGCUCAUUUAACAUUCGCUAAUAAACGAUAGCUCAACUGAAUCAUGAGCCACAGCGAUAUUUAGACGAUCCGCCCAUACUAGCAUCUAGCUCGAAUCUCUUGAAUCUCAUACUUUAGCUAACUGAGUAGCCUCAGAGUAGCCUCAUGGGCAGAUGAGUUACAUGAGCAAAAGCCAAAAGAUUAAAACAAAAGUAGGAGCUAGCUAUGACCGAGAUCUCUAGAACAAGUUGAUAGCGUCCUCUAAUUGUUUUGAAUUUGUUUACAAUUCAAUGCGAGAGAUGCUAUAUUAAUCAGCAAACUCCAGCGGCCUUAAGGCACACUGUUGCUUCAACCAUUAGAGUGUCAUGUGCUGUGUCCCACGUUUCCAGCUCCAGCCAACGCAACACCACCCCAUUCACACGCGAAAGAUUUAAAAAGAACUCAUUAAUCGGCAAAAGAUUUUGCGGAGGGCAUAUGGGAUUUUUUUUUUUCGAGCGGGAUCGUUGUCACCAGCAUAAUACGUCCUCGGAAAAGAAAACAUUUCCAGUGCUUAAGCAAGUCCCUUUCAACUCGCUCUAAAUCCUCAUUUUAAAAGCCAUUUGCGCAGAAACCAUAAAAAGGUGGCAAUAUUUUAAAAUAUAAUUAAACAACCUGUUAUAGGGCAUUAACAAAAUCUCUCUAUCAAUAUAUAAAGAUAUAAAGAUACUAUUAUAGUUGAUCUUAGGCAAAUAAAAACAAGGUUGCCUGGGGCGCAAAAUAAUAUACUAGCUGAGACAUCGCAUAAACACUGUAACAUCUGUCUUGCAAAGUUUCUAAACAUGGUCUGGUGGACAGAAACAUAUGAAACUUGAUUCAGAAAACCACAAUACGAGUGCACAACGAUUAUCAGUUCUUCCGCGUCAAACUACAGGGCACACUCAGAAGUGGAUAAUCUAGGUCAUCCGCUGAGCAGCCUCCUUGGCGAUCAGCUUUUCCCUAGCCUUGGUCUUGGCCUGCGACUUGGAGCCCAUGAUACCACCUCCCCACUUCUUCCUCACCUCAUCGAACUUGUCGUUGAAGUUUGCCUGCAGGGUGCAUUUUCAGAAUCACCUCAUCAGGGGAAGCAUAACUAAAGGGUAUCAAGAUUAUUCUGCAAUAUGUCAUAUUUUCAUACCUUAAUAGCCUCCAAGAUCUUGCUGAACUCAAGCUUGUCCUCGUUCUUGACAGUGGUCAGACACAAGACUGAUGCAGUCUUCUUGUGAACAAUCUGCAUACGAUUAAUACCAGAGUCAGCCUUAUUGUUUCAGAUACCACGAUAGAUAUAGCAAGUUCAGAACAGAUACCACAAUAGAUGUAGCAAGUUCAGAACAGCAUGGGUGUGAAACAUACCGAUCCAAGGCGAGCCUUUCCUUUAACAAUGCAGUAAGGGACCUCCAUCUUCCUGCACAGGGCUGGAAGCCACACAACCAGUUCAAUCGGAUCCACAUCAUGAGCGAUGACAACAAGCUGAGCCUUGUUCUGCACAAAUUCAUACAUUCAGUUAAUUACCAUUGAAGUUGCCACAAAAGUAUUGCAUAGUGACUACACCCAGUAUUGAAGUCAUGAAACAAAGAAGUGCCAAGUCAUACCUGCUCAAUGAGGUAAGUCACAUGGUUAAGGCCAUACUUAACAACAAUUGGUUUCUUGGCUUCAACAGUUUUUCCUUCAGUCUCAGCCUGAGCCCUCUUCAGAAGCCUCUCCUUCUUGGCAGCCUUGUCUUCAGGCCGGUAUUUGAGAAGCAUCUUGAAAAGGUUGGUAGCUGCAAACAUUUCACAUCAUAAAUUUUCAACACCAUAAUAUACAUUGACAAAUGAAUAGGUAGCUUAUACCAUUAUAGAAUGAAGAAAACAGAUAAGGUGUAAUUCAAGUAACUGCAUAGUUCUAACGUAGCAGCCAGUUAACUUAAUCAAGAACACAUGAGUGCAUUCAGUGUCUUAUCAGUUACCCUGAUAGGUGACAUGGUAAUACAUCAUUCUUUAGUCUUUCAGUAAAUUAGAUGAAUGCUUAUCCACUAAUUUUAGCAGGAUGGUGUUCGAUCAUGUUUACAGGUGAAUAUCAGAAGCAUGACUAGACAUGCUCUAGCCACUAUUAUGUCACAAUGUAACACUGAUGAAUUUAGGCACACUGAUGAGAGGCCCGACCCUAAAAAACUCUUGGAAAGCCUCGGCCUAAUUAAGGUUCACAAACAUGUAAAUGGCAAGCCUAAUGCACUAUGGCGAAAAUAAUGCAAGACAACAGUACCUGGAACUUAUAAUGUAUAUUUGCAUACAUCAAACAGUUGGUUAUUAAUCUACUGUGCAAGUGAAAUAGAACAGGUUUCUACAACAAAUCAAGACCUUGCAAUUGAAGGCGAUACUUCUACUAUUUCUUAGAAACCUAGCACUCUCAGUAAACAGGACGAAUAAGUUCUGUUCAUACCGAGGUUCUUGUCGAGGGUGCGGGUGAACUGGUUGAGCGCCGGUGGCACCUUGAGGCGCUGCUUGAGGAUGCGGCGCUGGCGCUGGAUGCGCACGACCUUGGGCCACUUGACGAACCGGUGCAGGUCCUUCUUGGGCGGCAACGCGCCGCCGAUGCCGAACUGCUUCGGCCUCUUCUCGAACAGAGGGUUCACCACUUUAUCCUGCACCCAGCCAGACCCAACACAGUCAGACCACGCAUUCCAGCCAUGGCGCCGCACGCAUCUCGAGCAAGAACGCGGGAAAGCGCAAUACAUACCGUCUUCUUCUUGGCCGGCACAGGCGCCCUGCCACCUCGCUUCGGGGCCUGCAGAUUUGUAAGUCGAACUCUUAGCACAUUACAUGAAUCAUACGCAGAUAUGCAGCAAGUUAACAUCCGAAAAUUACAAGAACAUAAGCAUCAUAAGCAUGUGCGCCCAAGAUCCACGAAACAAGAUUGAAAUAUAACCGAAGAAUAUCCGAAAAACCCCAGGUUUUUUCCACGUGGAAGAGAUUGGAUCAAUGGGAAUCCGAAAGCACAAGCAGAAGAUAGGCGGCGAGACCGCACGCACCAUUUCGCCGGAUGGGAGCUUGGCGUUCCGAACGGGAGACGACGGCGACGCGAGGGAGGGGGAGGCGGCGGCGACUGGCGCCUGGAAGCGGAGAGGUGGUUCUAUAAAGGCUGACUCGCGCCGAGCUGGACGCGCCCUGGCCGUCGGAUGCGAAGUGGAGAAGCAAGCGGUCUCGGCCGUCCGGUGCCGGGAUUAGGGUUUAGGCGAAGCCACUUGGGCCGCACCACGCGAGAAAGGUAGGUGGGCCUCUAUGGUCUGGGCCGUUUGUUGUAGCCGUGGUUUGUUGUAUCCGUGGUUUCGUGGUUUCUGUUUGAGCCCAUUUGUUUGGUACUUUUCAUUUUUCAUAGGAAAAAGUCUAUUUUUCAAAUGAAAAAGCCUCCCAACUUUCACGAAAGUCCAUUUUUCACCCCUCCAUUCUAAAACCGGAUAAAUCACCUCAUUUAACUUUUCAAACCAUGUAUUUUACAUCUCUGGAGCGGUUUUCAAGGCAUUUUUGCUACAGUAAAUAGUGGUUUGCUACAGUAACGUUGGUUUGUCUUUUUAUUUUUAAUUAUUUCGGCUAAAUUUUUGAAAAAUCAUAGUAAAUCACAGAAAAAUUAAAAAAUUGAAAAUCUAUUUUUUUGGAGUCCACAUAGGUAGAUCUACAUAGUAAACAUAUAAUAUGGUAUGCUUUAGUACAAAGUUUUUGCUAUAAAGGUUUUGUCCUAUUAUUUUAUUUAUUUAUUGGAUGAAUCUUUGAAAAAUCAUAGUAAAACAUAGAGAAAUCAUAAAAUAGAAAAUAUAAUUUUCUUAGACUCUAGUUUAUAUUAAGAGUAUGUGUUGCAGGGAGUCUCUAGUCUUUUGUUGUGUUUAUUACCAAAAGUCAACCUGAGUGUGGCCUACUUGUCUGCAAAACUGCAUCUGUGGUGUGAAUUUAUUGUGAAAAAAAACUAUGUCAUGACUGAAAAGUAGUGUCGAUAUGUUCAAGCGACCAGGGCAUAACAUCUCCUUCAAGCUUAUGUAUGUUGACUUUGUGGUUCAAUUGACAGGUUCUUCCCCAAAAAGAAAUUUGUAGACAGCUAUAUAUUUUUUUGUUAUUCCAUUAUUAGAGGUGUAACUUCUUAGAAGCAAUAUUAUUUUAUUAUGCAUUGACAUCUUUCAUACUGCCCUGUUUCUCUUGCUUUCUCUUCCUAAAACAUUUUCUGUGCAGCUGCUGAGGUAAUCAUAAACUGAAUUAUGCCCGCAUUGUUACCAAAAAAGCUAUUUUACAUAGUCUUCCUUUAGCUUUUUGAUGGAGCUAUAGCUAACAAAACAAGGUGUCUCCGAGCAUCCACCAACCUUUUGACUCCAGAAGAUUCAAUAUUAAAAAUGAUGAAGGGAGCAUCUCCUCAAAUUUUAAGUUGAUGCUAUUUCACUGGCGGUCCAAGUGCUCCAAAGGAUGAUGGGUAAUAAUUUAAACAAAAUUAAUUUAGAAAGACAAUGAUGAAGCAACUGUAUCAAGGUCCAUAUCUCCAUAUUAUUCUCCUAUCUUGAUGUAGUGAAAAUAUGUCUCUUACAAGUUACAAUUGCAAAGAUAAUACUUUUUUUACAUCUCUAAACUUAAUGCCUCUAGUUUUUCCAUGACGUUUGAUUAAUUGAGCUUGAAAAUUGACAAACUAUGUUGUAUUACAUGUAUUAAAGACAUUGGAGACAAUUUACCAAAAUGACAAUUCUAUGUUUGUCUUUGGAUGUUCAAAGAGUGUCACCUAUAUUUUAUCUAAUUAUGUCAAUAUGGUAUUGUAUAACUAAAUAGGUACAGCCCCGUUAGCUUGUCUGAAAAGUCAUGGUUGAAAGUACCGUCCGAUGAUUUAUUGUGAGAGAAAAACACUAUGGGAUGGUUAUCCGCUGAUUUGUUGUGAGAGAAAAACACAACGGGAUGGCUGACAGAAUUUGGCUGAUAAGCUGAAGCGAACAGGGUGUACUCAGAAUGGAUGUAAAUUUUUUGAAGAAUAAUCAGUUCAUAUUGCUAUUUUUAUUUGUAAACUUUUUGUGAAAAUGAUGAACUGAUGCUCUAAUAUUUUGUUGUUAUUAAGUAUGUAACAAGAAUCAAAGAAAACUAGAAUUGGGGCAUCUAGGACUUAUCAGAAUGAAGCAACCAAAUCAGGUGAAAUCAAAUGAAGCUGUUUGUGAUUGUAACAAAGCAAACUCUGGACGGUCCGAGAAACCUGCCUAGCAAUUGGGAAACCUGCCUAGCAGGCCCUGGGCGUCCAGCCAACUAAGGGGCUGUUUGGUUCGCUUACUACUAGAGCCUGGUUGGUAUAUGGGAGCCAGGCUCACAUAAGACAGGCCAAGUCCAUGCAACCUGCUGUGUUUGGUUUAGUGUAUCGACUUAACCUGACUGAAAAAAAAUGUUGUUUGGUUGCUUGUCCGAAGAUAUGUCGUAUGAGAUAAAAAAUAUUAUAAGGUUAUGAUUAUGAUUUUUAUUUUAUGAAAAUACACUUCUAAAGUACUUAUUUUAUCUAACUACGUGUUAAACAUCUUUAAAACAUCUUAUAUCGCUUAAUAUUCACUAAUCAUACACUAAUACCAUCAUUAGGAAAGAAACAGCUGCAUCCAGCCAACCAGGCUCGCUAAGAACGGCCGAUUUGCUCGUUUCUGUGGAGCCUGGCUGCGGGGAUGGCUGCUGCAUGCAUAGAGCCUGGCUCAACCAGGCGAGCAGGCAACCAAACAGUCUCCGGCUUCAGCCGGAUGCAGGGAACCAAACAGGCCCUAAGCCUUGAAUUUUAGGAGACUUUUUACCAUUCCCAUUUUUCCUCGGUCAAAACACCAAGAAUGUAGUAUACAACUUGAAUUCAUUUCCUCUCUCUAAAUUAAUAUAAAAAGUUCAAAGUAAUGCAAUGUUUAAAAUAUUGACUCCUUUUAAGAUGAGACAUAAUCCUCUAUUUUGACAAAUUGAUAACAGCAUUGUAGCCUUGCUCUACAGGACGUAGCAUUUCUACUUCUAGGCUCUUGGAAUGUUCAACAUGUUCCUCAUGGCUAACAAAUUCUUCAUCGAAAUGAAUUUGUCACUAACAAAUUCUUCAUGUGAGGGCACAAACAUAGUACAUCAUAUAUACCACCAAUAUAUAUGCCAAUUGCCAUAAACAUGUCAAGAUUACUUAAGCACUCCUCAACAAAAGCUAGAGCGCAAGAACUCAUCAACUGCUACGACGCACGAACCACCUAUGGCGGUUGGCAUCUACGUACAUGGUUUUGCACACGAUUCAUAUCAGUAUUCAGUACACAAGACUAUACUCAUCUCCCGUGCAGAUCGGCGUGAGAUCAAGCACCGUCGUCACCUGACCUCCUAGCUAUGCUAGGACCGGCCGACGAGGAGAGGCCGGGCGGGGACGAGCAGCCGGCCGUACGCGGAGUGGCCCCUGACAAGGCCGCACCUCGCCACGGUCGUCGCCGCCGCCUGGCCAGCCGCGUCCUCCUCCUCGAUCUGCUCCAGCACCCGCACGAAGGCGUCGGCGUCGCACGGCAGCGCGAGCGGGCCGGCGGCCGCGUACCCGAACACCUCCUCGGCCUCCUCCAGCAGCGCCCGGAACAGCGGGUGGUUCACGCACUCCGUCCGGACCAUGAAGCGCUGCCGCCCCGCGCCGACGCACACCGUGAAGCACCCCUCCGGCGCCGGCGCCGGCUUGCUCCUCCGCGCGCUGCGGCACCGGUCCAGCGUCUUCAUGAUGAGCCCCGCCGGCUUCCUUCCUUUCUCCGGCAUGGUAUAGUGGGCACGCGUCAAUCACAAGACUUGAGCACCUGGCUACUUAGCAAAGCUACAGCUAGCAAAAGGUGAAAUCAAUGUUAGUGGUCACAAGGAUGAGGAAGGUGCGUGAGAGGAAUAUAUAUACGUAGAGACAAGAUGUUUAGUGAACCUAGAGAGAGAAAGGGUCUUGAUCAAGAGGCUGUUUUUAUAUAAGAUUAGCUACUAGGGGCUCCAUGAGAGAGAGAGGGAGGCUCUAUACUUGUUUAGUACAUGUACACAAUAAUUGCAUAUAGAAUUGCACACUUCGACUUGUAGCGCGUAGUACGUGCAUAUAUAUUACAAUUGUUAGGGUACGGUUUGGCUGUUUUGGAAGGGUAAACAACUGCAGCAGGAGCCGGAGCCGGAGAUAAUCCAUGCAACGCAUGAGUAUGAGUCAUGACAUCAAGCAUGGCCGACUCUCGAGAGGCCGGGGCCAGUUCAUGGCGUCAGCGCUAUAAUAAUGCAGUAGAUUUAGAGCCAGAUUUGAACCUCUCUGACGCUGUGUGUGCAUGAUUGCAAUUAGUUUGGAGGUGUCGAACUCCCCAACCACACAAAGGGUUGUUUAGCUUAAUUAGCAACCGUCUGCCUUCUCUGAUUCACCAACGCAACAAAACGCUCCAAAACGUCAGCUUCCUUCUUGCAGAUUUGUUUUAUUGUUCCAGUAGCCCUUGGGCUUCAUCAUGACACAACAACACACUCUACAGCGUUCAACACCUGGAACCAAAAUGCAGGCAUGAUUCUUGAAGCCCUUCAGUCUUCUUGGCUGUCUUGUACUCUUUUUAAUUUCGAGCAUUUCAAUUGCAUUAUUCACGCGUACGGGAAAGAUUGCACUGAGGCUUUAUUUACAUGUGAAAUUUUUUUAGAUUUUGAUUCUGUAGCAAUUUUGUUUUUAUUUGACAAACAUUAUCUAAUCAUAGAUUAACUAGGUUUAAAAGAUUCGUCUCGCGAUUUACAGACGAACUGUGUAAUUAGUUUUUGUUUUUAUCUAUAUUUACUGCUUGAUUAAUGUGCCGUAAGAUUUAAUUUGAUAGAAAAUUUUGAAAAAAUUUUGGUUCUGGGGUGAACUAAACAAGGCGUGAGUUUGGCUGCUCCAGCAUCAUGCAUAUUCGUGCCUGCCGUAGGUACCAUGUUCGAGUCCGGGAGAAAAGACAAGACAAGAGAGGUAACAAUCCUGAUGAACUUCUCAUGUUCAGCAAUCGGUUACAACGGUGUCACUUGUACCUACCCCGUGUCACAUGCGCAUUGGGUAACGCCCCUGCUUUUGGCACGGCGACGAACCAGACUUUUGUAGUUCCAUAACUCCAUUGCAGAAUCCACACCAAUCAUAUACCCCGCUUUGUGUGUACACUGUACACCCAUGACCCAACGGCCACACGCCAUCAGUAUGAACUGAUCCAAACAGAAACAGGAUGGCCCUUUGACAGUUGACAGUACACCUUGUUCAUGUGUGAGUAUUGUCAAGCAUAAUAAUAAAUAUUAAAUAAUCGAACUUUCUUCUCAAUUUUCCAUAUAUGUUUGCCGACCUAUAUUCAUAGUUUUCCCUUUUCAACUGCAGUAGUGCAUUCAAUAUAUGCUUACUUGAAACCUUUUCUUGAGCUAUGUCAUUUCUUAUUGCAGCUCAUUUGCAGUUACUUUAUGAAUCCAAACUUUUGUCACUCCAAUUUGUAACAGUUUUCUCUGUCUAUCAAGUUGAAACUUAGCCAGUGAAAGGGCCUAUAGUUUAGUGGUUACAAGAGUCUUAGUGGCACCUAAGUUCAGAGUUUAACUCCUUGUGGGAGCGAAUAUUUCAUGAUUUAACAACAUUAUGCUUUAAGUGGUAGGCGACAUUCCCGUUGAUCCUCACUCUCAAGUAUUUGUCAAUUCAGUCUUCAAAGAUGCUCAUCUCGACAAUGGAAAUGGAUUUGAUAGGAAUUGGAUUUGCACUUUAAAAACAUAAAUAUAUGUAAUGAGAACUCAGAUAUCCUAUACCUUCCAUGAUAAAUUUUGAUUCUUUUCCACUUCUAGAGCUAAAUAAUGGUCUUUCUUAUUUACUAGCGAGUAUAUAUCAAAACCAAUUUGUUAAACAAGCAUUGUUUAAUGUUAUCUUACAACUAAUGUCAAUGAAAACAUUAAAAUCAUUAUAUGGAACAAUUAUCAUGUUAGUAUUUUAACAAGAUGUCAAUGAAUUAAAAUAUAACUCUAUUUUUUCCUACUUUUGAAUUAUAUUGUUCUAGAUUUUAUGUCAAUGGAUAAAACAAAUAUGAACUUGGCGUUUUACCAAAUUAUGAAGCUAAUAUUACGAAUUAAAUAUUGGGUUUAAUGAAUACAAAUAUACAAACUUAACUUUUCUAAUUCCUAAAUAUCAUAUUUGCUUUAAAAUCCUUAAAAACUAAUCCAAACUGAAAGCAUCUAGACCCCUAAGUCGGUUUUAGCAAUUAACGAUGAGACAAUCAUUGCGACCAAUGUGUGCUUUGCAGCGGCAUUACUUUAAUGAGGUCACAAAUGAUGUUAAUUGAUUGUGCAAACAUGGUUUUCAUGUCCUUAUUGAUGGUAUUCAUUUGGGUCCUCAAAAGAUGAGCGUGAAGAUUAAGGAUCAACUAGCUCUAAAGUGUGAAUGGUGUUGAGGGAUACUUAGAUUAAUGAAGAUCUUUGUUUUUUCUUUGGCCGUACUAUAAAUGUGGUAUGAAUGGGUAGCCUGACCUAGUUAAGUUUAAGUCUAGCAAGUGGUGGUGGUGCAUACUUAUGAAAAUUAGUGCUAGGUAGCUCAAAUAAAAGCCCAAGUUAUAGGUUGGAGACAAAAGUCAAAUUUCAACUCAAAGAUAUGUUGGAAGAGGUGCUGUUUUUUUUGGCUGAACCUUCAAAUAGAAGAUCUAAAGGCCUUGUAUUUUGAGUAUUGUAGCAUUUUCGUUUGUAUUUGACAAUUAUUGUCGAACCAUGGACUAACUAGACUUAAAAGAUUCGUCUCGCAGGUAAACUGUGUAAUUAGUUUUUUUUUCAUCUAUAUUUAGGCCUUGUUUACUUGCAAAAAAAAUUGCAAAAUGUGAACAGUAGCACUUUCGUUUGUAUUUGAUAAAUAUUGUCUAAUCAUAGGCUAACUAGGCCCAAAAGAUUCGUCUCUCAAAUUACAUGCAAACUGUGUAAUUAGUUAUCUUUUUUAUCUUUAUUUAAUGCUCUAUGCAUGUGCCGCAAGAUUCGAUGUGACGUGGAAUCUGAAACAUUUUGCAAAAAUAUUUAGGGAAGUAAACAAGGCCUUAAUGCUCUAUGCAUGUGCUGCAAGAUUUAAUGUGACGGAAAAUCUUAAAAAGUUUUUGAGUUUUGGAGAAAACUAAACAAGGGCUAACAAGUACCUUUGCCAGUUUGCCACUACUAAAUAUCAGACCACAUGUUCAUCAGUUCAUGAGCACAAUGAACUAGAUGGCAGCACCAGCACUAGCAUCAGUUACGUGUGGCACGGAGGUCAAACUAACAUGGGAUGGGACCAAAUAUCACACGACCUCUGAUCAUCAGUUUCUCAUCACUAAUACAGAGAAUCUAAAAAAAAUCUUGGCAAAGAAGGCUAAAACAUCUCAUAUAUUGACAAAGCUUCUUCGCUCAUGGAUUUCAAGGCCGAGAGGCCGGUUCUUGGGAAGGCGGGAAGCGGUAGAACGGCGGCGGUGGCGCCGGCGCCGGCUCGUAGAGCGGGAAUGGCAAGAACGGUGGCCGCAGGAACGGCACGAGCCAGUCCGGCACCGGGAACGGCCACGGGAACGACACCGUCCCGCCGGCGCCGCCGCCCGGGACCCGGAACGGUGGCCAGAAGAGCGGCAAGAACGGCCAGAAGAAAAGCGAGGAGCCGAACGCGUCGCCCCCGUCGUCCCCGUGACCGUGGCCGUGGCAGAGCGCGCCGUCCCGUUUGGCGGGGCGGAAGUUGAGCGCGUUGAGGUUGAGGAAGCAGGCGCUGGUGGCGCGGGAGCGGAGCGCGAUGUGCUGCGUGGAGUCGCCGAGGCCCGGGACGUUGCAGGCGGCGGAGGAGCUCCGGACCAGAGUGGCGCGGCACGCCGACCGGACCUCGUGGCCCUCGCGGCACUCGAAGCCGUCCACGGGGGGCACGUCCAGCUUGUACACGCCGUGCUGGUCGGUGGUGCGCUCCGCUUCCAGGGACAGCUCCUCGGACGACGUCGAGUUCACCUUGAAGCUGCACUUGAUCAGCACCUUGGCUCCUGCACGCACCAUUUAUCACCGUCAGCCCAAUAAUGUUUUGAGCUAAUUAUUGACAGAUACUCAGAAAUCAGGGAUGGUAACAGUAGAAUACGUGCAUAAUCGGCAUUCCUUCUGAGCACAUACAAAACUGAAAACCACGCCAUGGCCACAAAGUGUAAAAUUCACCACUGAUUCUAUUGUUUUCCUUCCAAAAAACAGAGAUUUAUUAGAGUUUAUAUGUAUCUAUAUAGAAUCUAAAAGUGAACAAUUGGAUUACUGAUUACAUGGGCUUAUUAGUACAAUGUUUAGUUAAAUGUAAAGAUGAAGCCAUGGUGCCAGCUGGGCUUCCAGAAUCUGAGGUGAGGCGUUGGCAAUCUAGUGCAGAACUUCUGGUCAUAGGCACGCCAGGCUUUGAUGACAAUUCAUAUGCACAAAUGUACUGAAUGUCUGAAUUCUGAAGGUCUCUAGUCUAUGGUGAUUGGUGACUGGUAUAAAACCCAAUUACUCAGUGAGGCACAUUUCAGCUCGAGGCAGUAUUAUCUAUAAAUCCCAGUGCAUAAUGAAUUCGGGGAACUCAUGAUGUUCAGAAUAGAUGAAGUAAAUACGCAAUGAAGAGUGACGGUGCUUGUCACUGAAAAACAAAACAAAACUGUGAAUUCGAUCUCUACUUCUACUUGUACUACAUCGCAAUGGCAAAUGAGCUCAUCCAGGUAACUGAAGUAAUUGGGGAAUUGACAAUUUUUAUGAGAGACACGUAUGCCAAUAAUCUUCAAGUGGGCCUGGGAGGAAACUUCGGUUACCGAAACACCCUGUACAAAGGAUGAGCCAAAAGCCCAAAAGCUAAACUACAAUUGCCCUUAUGAGAGUGGAGGCAGAAAUGAGCCAAACCAAAGAACAAGUCAUAUGCCCAUAUUUGUCAAACCAAGUUUGUCCUGAUUUAGCCACAUAGCAGAUGGAUACCAAAAUGUUUAUUACCUCCUCAGUACAUUGAAAAUUUUCUUGUGGCAAUGCUGAUAACUAAAGGGCACUGUAACACUUGAACAACUCAGCACACUUGCGUAUCAGUUUCUUGUUGCUUAUUAAAAAAAGAAAAAAUUGUAAAAGAAAAAGAGGACAGGAAAAAGAUACUGAUCCUCCUAAAAUGUGCCAAUGUAAGAACAUGUAAAUCUACAGCAGAGAACAGCACGGAAUGAACAAUCUGAUGUAAAAAAAUGUUUCUCUAGCACAUUUCAGAGCUAAGCAGUCUUCUGCUACAAUGCAGCAUCUUUUGUUUUUUAAAAAAAAGUUGCUACCAUUAUUGGGGGUAAAAAAAGCAAUGCACGAGGCAACGAUCAAGGCCGUUAAUGUCAAUGCAGAAACUGCAUAACUGAUAGCAUCUGCACUCACCUUUCAAGAAGAAGCUAUGCUUGGAGAAGGUAUUGUUGGAGCAGGCGUCGCAGUACACGGAGCCAACGACGGUGAUGUUGUUGGGCCGCAGAAACUUGGCCUCCGCGCCACUGAGCAUCAUCAGCACCAGCGCCGCCAGGAGCACGGCGGCCGGAGUCGCCAUCACCGCCAUGGGGCUGCUGCUCGCCAUUGCGGCCAUGGGCUAGCUCGGAAUAGUCGAAGGGGGCAAUGGAGUAGUCCAGAUUGGAGAUAGAAGGAGAGAGAAGGAGGCGGGGCGGUGAGGCGGAAGCGAACAAGCGCAUGUGAACCGGGCUCUCUUGGACGGGCGUGUGGUUGUGAGACAUGGAGAAGAUGGUCAGGCACUACUGCUUCUGGUGUGUGGUCUCCUCUUUACCUUUAUUUACUGGGCCCAUUGGCAAGUGAAACGGCAAUGAGGAAAUGAUACAUGCGAAUAUACAGUUUUAGUUUUGUUACUCGGAUCAUUAACCUUAUUUGCUGGAAAGCAUUUCCCAAAUAAGCUAUACAAAUGAAGUAAAAGUACACUCGCAAAAAAAAUGAAGUAAAAGUAGAGACUGUUGGCUGAUAAGCCAUGGCACUGUUGGCUCAUUUAUAGUAAAAAAAUAUUAUUGAAUGACUGAUAGAUUCGGCUGAUAAGCUCAGGCUGUAUCUGACUAGUUUAUAGAGUACUUCUUAGUUCAAAUGAGAGCGGUGAAAAUAAGUGCGGCCAGAAUAAGUUGUUUAACUAUUGAUUUUAGUUUAUUUUGACCAUCAGUAAUUUUAUAAGCUGUAUGUUCCUUUGGCUGCUGGAAAUACUGUUCGUUACUUUGUUAUAAGAGAAAAAAAAAUAUUAUUUAAAUAAUUAAUAGAUUUGAAAGAUAAGUUUAAGAUAAGCUCAAGCGAAUAGUGGUGUCUGCUUAAGCCAGCUGACUAGACUACAUGGGCCGAACUGUCUGCCGGUUUGGACUUCUAGAUUCCUGAUGGGCCGUAUCCUUGCGCAGUUUGAAUUGCUACUGGGCCCAUCGGCCGGUUUCGAUUUCGAUCGAACGGAACCCAUCCAGAGAAGCCACCGAGCACGUACGCGCCGCGCAACUGGGUCCCGGUGCCGACGGGGGCGACGGCGUUUGGUUGGUGUGCAGUGCACUGCGCGGAGGGAGCCGCGAGCAGCGGAGCCGGAGCACCCCCACCGGCGCGGGCGCCGCGGAGAUCAGCGAGCGUACCUGUCCGCACCGUGCAGAUGCAGCGCACGGCGGGAACGCACGCAGUCACCCGCCUGCAGACCACGGGCAAAAGUUUGGGAAGAGGGGCCGGCGCGGCGUAGAAGCGGAACGUACGGCUGGGCAGUUGGGCCAGCCGGGGAACCGACGCCCGCGUGCCCGACUGCCUCGCGAACCGAGUUUGGCCGUGAGGCGCAGGCGGGGGCGGGCAAAGGGCAACGGGACCGCGGAGGCUGGGGCGCCGGCGCUUGAUUCCGCUGGCGCUGGGUGCCUGGGUGGAGUGGUGGUCUCCAGGACCAGGAGGAAUGAACGCGGGCUGUUCUGGCCUGCGACCUGCGUUGUUUCAGCGUUGUACACACACAACACGUCAACACCAGUGCACCAUCCCGACAUUCGUGAAUGCAAUGCGAGCUUGAUGUGUAUAGUACUACUAGUAGUAGCUAGGGGUUAAAGACUAAAUUGCGUGUCCAUACCCUGCUUCGGUUUUAUUGCACAAACCACCAGAUCAAUUAAUUCAUCUCCAAUACGAACUCGUAUAUAGCUAGCUAAUUGGUUGAUUAAGAACACAAAGUUUUUUUUUUGAGAACACGCCUUCACGUGUAUUGCAUUAAGGAGAUUAUAAGAACACACAAACGAACGAUUAAUAAAAGAAGACACACACUUAGUAUGUCUCUCUCUCUCUCUCUCUACCGGCGGCAAUCAGUUAAUCGAAUCUACCAAGCCAUGCAUUAAUAAUAAUAAUUAAACAAGCAACAUUGAUCCAGCUAGCAGGGCAUGCAUCGCGCAGUUCAGGAAGCAGGCCAUAUGCAUGCCUGCGAUGAGCUUCCAAAGGAUAUCAUUCAUGGUCAGACGACCUUGACGACGCCGCCAUGCUUGCGCGGCGACCCCAUGGCCUCCUCCAGCUUCUGCAGCUCGGCCAGCACCGGGGCCACGGCCUGGUGGGCGGCGAGGGGCAGCUCCAUCUCCGUGGCGGCGGCGUCCGUCGUCGUCGGCAGGACCACGGACGCCGAGGGCUUCCGGUAGCAGCAGUAGAGCACCAUCUGGAUGCAACCGAAGAAGAAGCCGCCCACGUUCGGGAGCUGCAUGCAUGCACAACGAAGAACAACACGUCCAUCAAAAUUAUUGCAGACCCGAUCGAUCGUUUAUGCAUGCAGUAGUACUAUAUAUAUAUGUUUACCGUGACGUAGGGGUCCUUGGUGAAGAUGCCGUACAAGAACCAUGCGACGGCGCUGAGGGUGAGGAAGAAGGAGAGGGUGAAGGGCAUGAACUCGGCACUCUUGGUCCUGAUCACAACAAACUGCAAACAGUACAGCAGCAGCAUCCGAUCAAUUCGCACGUCGAUUUCAACUCACAAGCUGCUGCCGAUCGAUGGAGAAGAGACGCUCAUGCUUACGAUGACGCUGAGGGGCGCGACGAAGACGGCCAUGGAGAAGGCGAGGCAGAUGCUGCCGAGCACUUUUACGCGGUGCGGCUCCGCGACGAGCACGACGACGACGACGACGAUGAGCGCCAAGGCGGCCACGUCGAGGAGGAAGAAGAAGGCGAGCGCCCUGAGCCUGGCGGCCCGGGGCGCGUAGAUGAGGUAGAGCAGGAUGUAGGUGGCCUCCACCACGCAGCCGAAGGCGUUGAUGGUCAGCAGCGGGCUCGAGUUGGUCUUCACCACCGCGUACAGGAUCCACAGCGUGCAGCUGAACAGGGCCACCACGUACGGCACCGAGCUGAACCCCUCCGUCGACUUCUUCCGGUACACGCGAAGGAACGUCGGCCUGCACAAUUUAUUAAGUACACACGUACGUGUUUUCUUUUUCAGAUCAAUUAAGAAGCUAUAGCUAAUUAAUAUAUCACUGAUGGGUUGUAUUUCAGCAGACAACGACUUUUAGGGUAGAUGAUCGUAUAUACAGUGCACUUACACUGGUGCGAGGAACACCAGGAAGGAGAUGAUGUUGCCUGCAGGAAAAUUAGCAAAGGGAGAGAUGGGAAUUUCUGUCAGUAAACCUGUGGGAGUAUUUUUCAGUCGGUGUAAACAACACUGAUGAGCAAUCGUUUGGCAGGGGCACGCAUGCCAUCGUGCUGCCGUGCAUGCGAGCUGUAUCGUACGGUGAGCAAUUCAGUAUUGGUGGUGGUGCACAGGCAGCAGCAGCGUACCUAGAAUGCCAAAAGCAGAGACCCAUGGGUGCUCCAUGGAGAAGAGCCCUCCUGCCAUUGCGACAGUAUCAGGCAAGCCGAAGCCCUAUACACUAGUGUGUGAGUGAGGAGAAGCUCGGUCUCUGUUCUUCUCUUUCCCCUGCAGGGAAAGAUCAGAGACCAACUGGGCUCCUACGCCACUACACUACUACCUUCUUAACUCGUGUACCUGUGCGGUGAAUGGCAUUGUGCAGGGAACCAGUGUUUAUAUAGAAGAGCUCUGGGUCCCAUUAGUCGCCACGUGUAUGUUACCUUUACCCAUUAACCGCGCACAUGUUAUGUAGUAUAUUGUACAAGGCUGGGAUUGGAUUUCUAGUGAUACCGGUUAGUGUUACUAAUAACGGAUAACGGCAACACAUAAGAAGAUUACUAAUUAUUAUAAUACUCUCGGUUUGAAAAUACAGGUUGUUUUAGUUUUGUUCUUUGUUAAAAAUCCUCUAACUUUGAACAAAUUUAUUGUGAAUAUAUUAACAUCCCUAACACUAAAUCAAUACUAGGAGUAUAUCAAAACAUAUUUCAUGGCGGAUUUACUGAAAAUAGUUUGAUGUUGUGGACUUUUAUACAUUUUUCUAUAAAGAUUGUCAUAGUUUGAGAAACCAUAUCAGCGAGUACACCUCUCAAAAACAUGAAUAAAGGGAGUACAAUAGGUGGUUUGUUUUUUUUCAUUCGUUUAAGGCCAUCUUUAGUGAUAGCUCCAAAAAUCAAUGGGGCUGCCUCCAUUUCUAAAGCCCUGAAUUCUAUGCUCAAAUUUUAGUGGUAGCUCCAAUUUUACCAUGACAUUGGAACCCCUCUCGUUAGUGUCUUGAAGUUUUCCUUUAUGAUUUUUCCUCUAUCUUUUGUUUCCUUCUCCUCCCCAUCGCUUUUUGUGUGCAUGUGUGGAUGUCUCUUUCUUUCUCAAGGGUGGGCAGGCCGAGCAACACCACCCUUAGGCUUUGGAUGCACCACACCCUUGUAACGCCUUGUCACAUUGCCAUGUUGAGCACAUGACUCAACCGCCAAGACAACAAAAAUAGAGACCUAAGGCGGAUGAGCACCCUGCGCAAAAGUUGAUGGCAGACUCCUCAAUCUAGUGCACAAGGAAUUCCAUAGAAGGAGUCAACAUAAUAACAUCAUGGGUGGUGGAGAUGGCAAUGAGGAUCAAGACGACGGGAAGGACAUCGGAUUCAAAGGCUUCAACGCUGACAACUAGUUGAAGAGACAAGCAACGAGGGUCUUGGUGGUGCCAUUCGUGGAGGGGGUAGAUCCGCUAGUUUGUGGUCUUGCGUGGGGCGGCGGAUCUGCCACCGAGGGCAGAGUGCGGUCGCUGGGAGGCAGUGCAAGAGAUUUAGCAUGGAGUAGUUUAAGCAUGUGCAUAAUUCAACAAACACAAACACUAGAUGGGGGGCGGGGUGGCUUGGUAGACUAGACACCCAUUCUAGGGGGCUAUUAGUGUGAUGUAGGGCUCUCCCUACUUUAAGGGAUUGAGUAGGACCCUAUUGAAGUGAAAUUUUGGUCUUGGUCCCUACAAACAAUGGGGAUAUGUUUAGGAGCUAGAUAUAUGAACCACCAAGUAUCUUGAAUAGGGUAUCUGUGAUUUUCGUGUGAUAACAUGUCCAAUAUAACUAAAAUUUUUUGCAUUGCUAGUAUACAAGGUUUAAGUCUUAUGGAUGAGAACUUGAGAGUGGAUGCACCUCAAAGGAAUUGAAGGCUAAGUGGAUGUAUGACCCUAGAAGAUCUAUUAUAGGUAACCAAGAAACCUCAAACAAAUGAAGCUCAGACAAAAACUUGCAAAGCUGUUGACAAGGGUCAAUUGAAUAAAUUAAUGGAUAGUUCCGCCGAACAAAUUCACAUUUUAAUCUAGUGGCAACAAUAUGUAGCAGAAGUCAAGACCGUGAAAAAGAUUUUACUUGAUGACCCGCCCGUGCAAACACAAGAUAUAUGACUUGUCCUAUCAAACACCCCACCCUAUGAUUGCUUAAGCUUUUAGUGAAAGUGGUAUAGGACUUGACCUAUAUAUUUGGUCUUGUGUACGUACAACCUGGCAAGAGGAGGAAAAGUCUAAGUAUAAAUAGCUCUUAUCUCCAACUCCACACCCAAGCCUCCCCAAAACUAUACACAAUCACACUUACACCUUCAUCACCACUUGCACUCUCUAGGCGGUGAAAAAAGCUCUCUUACUUCCUUAAUUACCUCAAGUCUCAACAAUCUUAUUAGGCCGAACCUUAACUACUUAGGAAAAGAAAAGCACACAAAAGUCGGCUAUCCAGCUAGCCAGAUUAUAUUCUAAUAAUUGUGGGUAAUAACAGCUAACAAUUUUUUCUUCUUUCAUAAAUAACAGCUUAUAAAACUUGGUUGGUGAAGUCUGCACAGAAGAAGAAUGGACACACUUUUAGGCCUUGUUUAGUUCCGAAAAAAUUUCGGAUUUCGGUACUGUAACAUUUUCGUUUUUAUUUGACAAAUAUUAUCCAAUCAUGGACUAGCUUGGCUCAAAAGAUUUAUCUCGUGAUUUCCCGUUAAACUGUGUGAUUAGUUUUUGUUUUUGUCUAUAUUUAAUGUUUCAUGCAUGUGCCGCAAGAUUCGAUGCGGCAGGGAAUCUUGAAAAUUUUUUAGAUUUCGGGCACCACCCACGCACCCAACAAGGUUUUUUCACCGGCAAGAGAUACGACGAAGAGCUCAGCAUGUGUCGAGUACAUGAGCCGAACGGCCGUCCGAUCCGCAAACCUCUCUCGUUCUUUCGCUGGUGCAGUACGUACGUCAGUACGUGCGUGCGGCCAGGGUUAGUUAGGCCCUUCAUUUUUCCCUUUCACUUCAUUCACGCAUGUGUGAAUUGUUCGCUAUCCAGCGCACAUCCACGUGCGCCGAUGUGUAUUAUGCAUGCAUGGUUUGGUCGAACGUUUCAUACGCACUUUGGCAGUGCGAAGCGAUAUGCAUUUUUCUCUGCCAAAGUUACCAGAGUCUGUGAUGACCGGUUUAGUUUUAUGUCAGCAUCUAGGAUUAUUCCUAGACCUGCUUCCGGACCCUUACAGCUGCAUCGCAUAUUCCCAUCGCUCGCAGAACGCGGGGAUCAACGACGACGAGGCCAAUUACAUCGAGCGCAGCUAGCCCGGCAACGGAAACGGAGGAGGAUGCUUUUCCUGCGCCGAGACCGAGAGGUGACGAAAACGGAAAUGUGAUGUGCCUGCCUGCUGGUGCUCGGUUCACUGGCGCCUACUGUACGUCUGUACCUGGCCUACUGGCUGAUCUGAUCGAGAUCCUAUCCGGGGCGGCGUCCAGCUGAGCUGCUAGCUGCCGCUAGUGAACAAUAAUGCAGCGCUGCCGAACCGCGCGCGCCUCUCGCCGAGAAGGGAAAAUAAAGUCGGCAAGGAUAGCUAGGAUGCGCGAGGUCGAGGACGACGAAUUGCAAGUGCCUUCCGGCUUCCGCUGCCGGCGGCGUGGAGAACGAUCGUGCUACACGGGGCCGAGAACGACCGGGAGGGAAUCUUUGCCGAGCGUGCAGCAUUUCCUCCACGGCUCGAAUGGCCGGGAGAGAAGGCAAAGUGUCCUCUCCUCGAUAGAGUGUGCCCCUGGCGGCCUGGCGUGCUUGGUGCUCUCCUGCGUUGCGUGCUGCUCCUCGUACCGUCUGACUCAGACUCGCUCGGCCAUCUGUAUCUGUAUCUUUUUUUUUUCUUUCGCUGCUCACUGCAAUUUCCCAUACUCGGGACGCUUGGAAUUAUUGCUUGCGCGUGCUGUCGAGGGAGUCUAGGACGUGCUCACAUGAAAGUAUCCACCAUGUGUAUUUGUAGCAUCUGUCUACUGCUAGUAGCGUAGGAAGGGAUCGUACCUCAAGUGUUGUGUGCUGUUCGAGCCGUCGAAGCCUUCCUCGGUGCUGAUCGAGCUGGAGGCCAUUAGCCAGGGCACUAACGUACGUACGCUUCUGUGGCCUACUUGUGUCUGGACAGGGGAACAGGAACAGAGAGAUUCCAUCGUUUCUUUUCUCAACAUUCGCACUGACCAUUUGGGUGUCAAGCACCCAGGGAGAUGAUUGCGCUCAACUUCCCGUUAAUAAACACGGCCCUGGCGCCAUCUGAAAUGCUCGCAGAAGUGAACAUAAAGCCCAUGCGAUUCCAUUCCAACACGGUGCAAAUUUGAAGGGCGUGAAGAAACUAAAGCCAAACAUGACAAACCCUUUCUACAGGCAAUUCCAAUUUGCAAUAACACAUAUAUCUAUAUACAGUGGAUAAUCCAAACAGCUAAGGAGUUAAAGGAGCUCUUCUGUUAUUUUUUUUCUUAGAACACCAAACGAGAAGCACAUCAGAAGAACUGAUGCGCUCCCAGGACACUGAGUAAGAAAGCACUGCAGCAGACGUAUAUAUCCUAGGUGGAGUGAAAGCACAGGCGCACACAGAACACACAAAAGUUGCUUCUUCGUUGUUGGUAUCAGGCAGGUUUCACAAAAGGAUGCGUCAGAGACGUGACAUGGCUUGCUAGUGAGCUCCACUGGUUGUUCCAUGGACACUGCUAAUGGAGCCCCAGUGAGAAUCUCCCGUUCCCAUCUGCACAGCAACGCUGUCCAUGGACUCUGAGGUCCCGCUUCGGUGACCCCAACUUGAUCGCCUCGAAUGCACGCCAGCCCUCCCUUCCACAAGCUCAGGAAGGGUUUCUCUGCUAAGAUCCGGGGAUGCAUGGGCUACUCUGCCUUCCUUCUCGUCCAAUAGACCGCCUAAACCAACCUCCAAAUCUCUGAUAUCAGCUGCUGACCGAGGUUCAUCCCAUGAUAUUGGCUUUCUGCCCAAUUCAAGUUCUCCAACAGGUUUACCCAUGUUUGGGCUCAUGAAACCCCUUGCUGGCGCAUGUGAUUGCUGUAAACCUUGCUCUACUGGGACCCUAGCUCGGAAGUUGUUCUUGGAAGGAGGGACUGCGGUGCAGAAUAUCUCCAUGAAGUUGUUCACGAUCCCUCUGUUGUAAGGAUUGGCCCGCCGAUCAUAGCGAUAUCUGAAGUUCUCAUAGGUUGUCUGCAAAGGAUAGGAAAAGUGAUUGCAAAUUCCUAGCAAUAUGCUUAUGAGUAAAACAACCAAUUCCUAGCAAUAUGCUUACAGGUAAAACCAACUAUAUUAAAAAGUUGACAGGGUACCAACCUGGUUAGUGCUCAUGAGAUAGAAAUGGAAGACAGACAGACCACCCACAAACCACACACAGAUGAAGCAGUAUAUGAUCAGAACAAUUGAUGCUGGUGUCUUCAACAUUGCUUUCCAAAUCGACGAUUGUUCUGCGUCUCUAAUCUUCACAAUGUACACCCAGCAAAAGCCAAAUACAUAGAGGCACAGUAAUGUUGUCGAGAAUACGAACAUAUAGAAAAAACGAUAAUUGCGCUGCAGCAGAUAAACAUGCAGUUAGCACCAAAUAACAAAAGCUGCAGUUAAUUACAAAGAGUUCCUCUGAGCAAUCUCCAGAUAACAAAACUGGAUGCAAUAUCAAAAUGCUGAGAUAUAUCUUCAGAUAACAAUACUGGAUGAAUAUUGAACUGCUGAGCAGCCUUCUGAUAACACUACUGGAUACAAGAUUAAACCGCAACGCAUAUUCAACAACGAUGUUAAGCUAUUCAAGGCAUUCCCAAACUUACCAAUCCUAUGCAUUGCCCAACCCAAGGGCAGUGGUGAUCGAAGCGCUCCACACAGUUAUUACAGAUAGAACAAUGUGAGCAUCGAGGUGGUCUGUACAGCAUGCAGGUGUCACAGUACUUGACCUUCACAAUGACCCCAUUUACGAUAACAUCCUUUGUCCGUGGCAACCGCAAUUGUUGAGGUGUCUGACCAUUUCCAGCAUCAUUGAUCAUAUCAAUAGCUUCGGGUUCAGGAGGAUGGGUGUUACGAGGCACUAUACCAGGAUCUCUACCAGAGGUAAGAAGCAGCAGUGUCAAAUCCUGGAAAACAAAAGAAAUAAGGUUCAGUCGAAGAAAGGAGUACAGCAAACCACAGUGCCUCACAUUGUUGAUGAAUUAAUUUACUCAGUAAAGUUUAUUCACAAAGCUAUUGCCUUCAAUGAUAAUCCUAAAGCAUUAAAAAUCUUAUUUUCUUUGAGGUUUUCGAUGGUCAACUAAGUAAUAUACCCUUUAUCUUUUGCACAUGACAUGUAAAUGCUAUCAGCCAACAACACUAAUAUCUCCAUAACCGCAACCCAAUGUGUUUCUCAGGGCUUUUAGUAAAGGUUCUAUAGAUUUUGACUCAUUGCUUUGUUGCUUAAACUGGAGAGUUGUUUCUCGUUGCUGAUAUUUAACAAUCAAUUACAGUAAAAUGAAAAUGGGUCCAAAGAACUAUCAUUCAUGUAGGACAGACCAACCACAGAGCUACUCACACCAUUCCAUUAGAUUGGGAUGCAAAACAACCAUCAUUCCAAUGGUGGCUAUAGUUACAGCUUCAUCUUUGUCCACAAUCUUUGAAAGAAACUAGUAUUAGCAUCAUCUCGAAGGAUGUUCAAGAUGAGGCCAUGCUAGUUGUGGUUACAUUUUUUUAUGAAUCAUCUUGGACUCCUUUCUUCUUAAUAUAAGCAACUAGUUAUAGUAGGAGAUGAAAGGUUGAUACUUCUAAAAUUUACAGAUGUCAUAAUCAAGACCCAUCUCCAGGUAUUAGCAACUGGUACAACUGCAUUCAUUUAGUGCGAACAACCUAACAGCACUAUUUGGGAUCUAAAAGCUCGACAUCAGAAGGGGUUCAACUGCUACAACUCUGAAAAAAUUGGAAUUCAAACAUAAAAAAAAUGAGUACUAAAUAAAAUCUGUUGUAAGACAACAGAUUUACAGCAAUGAACUAACAUAAAAAAUUGGACCACCCCAUGUAUUAACAAUCUGCUUGCUGUACACUGCCAUAGUUCAUAUUUAUCCAGAGCAUCCAAUUAUCAAGCAAGAGAUAAGAGAACACGGUUAUAGCUGCCAUAUGAAAUAACUAAUAGCAGACCACAAAAUUCCUUGAAAAAGUUCAGAAAGCACAACAACACUUACAUAUAUUGUGAAGACAAUCACUACGACCAUAACUGAAACUCCCCAAUGGUCAGGAAAGUCAUUGAUAAGAUGUCUGGCCACAAAUAUACAGAAAACCACUACUGGUGCAAGAAUGAGGAAUAUGGUGAGAAACAAGGAUCUCACAUCAGGUCCAAAUAUGAACCACCCUUGCAAGAAAAACUCCUGAAAAGAAUAUCAGCAAACUUAAAUGGCCUUGCAAUUGUGAAACAGAUGUAUAAAAAAAUAAAGCAUCAUGUAACAUAUGAAAGCGUUGAGUUCGAGAACAUUUCAUCCAUCAGAUACCAAACAACAAAAAUAUCUACUCAACACUUCAGCUGUAAAAUCUGCCAUUGGAAAAUGAAUGUAUAAUACAAGAAAGAUAAUAGAAGGAUAUUGUAUAAAGCAACGAAUUAUAAUGAACUAAAGAAGCAUCAGAACAUGUCAUAGUGUAAAUUAGGAUUCUGUUCACAGGGAGGAUGGUGCUGGACAGGCCGACAGGCCCUAUAUAAUGAUUUCUGGAAGUUAACCAGGUAACAUCUCUAAUUAAUUGUAAACUUGAAGCCGAUUUGCUAUCCAAAAGCCAAGGGAAUAAGGGAUACUGACCACUGGCAGGGAAGAAGUUGUGCCUAACUACCAGAAAGAAAUUCAAUUACAGAUGCUUCACAAGAAUUGAAUGAAUAAACACAUGGGCAGUGAGCAGCUGACAAUAAAUGUUAAGUCUCAGAUGAUGAAAAAAUACUGCCUGCCUGGGAAAUUACUCGUAGACCAUCUCAAAAGAAGCCCCAAUGGCUUGUAAACAGAGUCAGGCUAUAAUCUGAGAAAGAGUUGGACAAUCUAGAGUAGCAGAAUGGGUGGGGAAACAGGAAAGAAAAGGGAUGGGGGAAAGGAAGUUCUGUGCGAUAAAAGAAGUUUCCUCAUCACAGCUUAUUCAACAGAUGGUGAGCUCAGGUACAUACGUCAGGUUAUGACUCGGCCUGCUGAAAUUAUGCUCAAGUUCCAGUAAAGCUGAUUCCAUCUAGUAAGUUAAGGUUCAAACAAUGAACAGAUGGUGAUUCCCCAUAGGUGAAUAAAAAGUAUCCCUCAAUGAACAGGUGGCAAUUCCCCCACAGAUGAAUAAAAAGUAUCCCACUUCCCCUAAAUGGACAAAAGGGUUUUUUGAAUGAAAAGUAUCCCUACUCUCCGUAAAUGGAUAAAAGGGCAUUUCUACAAAUUAGAACAACAUCAUCAGUACCCCAAUGAUUUUCCCCAGAAUGGUAGGCACGCACAUCACCAACCUAAGUAUUUUGUUAUUCUGCUCAAUGCCUCGAAGCGAUAUUUUCCCACCAAACACCGAAACCUGAUCGGCUGAUCAACAUGCCACAAAGAGAUAAACCAUUUGUAGCUGAUAAACUAAGUGUAGUUUCCAAUGAAAAGGAAACCUUUGCUCCACCUAGUUUCAAUCCAUGUUUUAUAAUUCAUUCCAGAACCGUUCAGCAGUUACAUCAAUUAAAGUAAUCUUUCAUCACAAGAGCUAGUAUGUCCUGCCCAGACUGAUCAGUACACUACAAGUAUGAAAGGCGAUUGUUGUACUGGAUGUUGUCAGCAUAAUGUUCAAAUUAAAUAAAGCACGUGCUCUUUCUAGUUUCAAUCCACAUUUCAUGAUUCAUUCCAGAACAGUGUAAUAGCUGCAAGGUGUCCAAAAUGAAAACAGGUGAAUUUUACUAUUAUACAAUCUACUCUGCCCACGCAAUUUGAUCAACAGAAGAAAAUAGAAAUCAUGUUCUCAUGCAUAUUCCCAAUAUGAUACCCAAUAGGCCAAUACAGAGGAAGUAAAAAAUGUUCUUAUCUUCUAUGAUGCUCGAGGUAACAAAAGCAUGCCCAAGCUUGAAGCGAAACUAUAAGGAAAAGGAGACAGAUGGAUAGCUCUUGGUGUCUAACUGUCUAUCAAAGCAAACAGGACUCCUGUAUGAGAGAAAUAGAAUCUAGAUUCCAAGCUGCCACAACUACGAAGGCACAGAAACUUGAAACAUCUACAUGCUUGGUACCUCCAGUGACAUUUUCACAUUUAGGUAUAAACACUUUAAAGUCUAAAACAUAAGAUAUAAGUGGCAUCAACAUACUCAAACAAUCCAAAAUUCUAUCCACUAAGUGACUAAACCCCUACAUUUCAAGCACAGGAUCACACAGACCGCAGGCACCUGAACCUAACGCACAACCGCAGCAGCUAAUUUUCCCACCAAUAGUGCAGGACCGCAUCAGGGUCCCUACCGUCUUCUCACAAAACCCUUGCUUAUCACCGUACGCCCAGAUCCAGAUGCACUGUUCACAGGCACACAAAAUCCAAAACCAGGAGUUACAGAAACAGAGAGAGAGAGCGCGAGCUUACGUUGCUUCCUCGCCAAACUUGGUAAACCCUAGGCUGCUCUCCGGCAGCGCCGGCUCCCCCGCCGCCUCGGGACGGCGGCUCGUACAUCUCCAGCUCCCUCCUGCCGCAGCACCUCCACUGAUCCCGAACCCUUAGCUCAGCACAGCUUGCACAGCCUCCUCCUCCUCCGGCGCCCCUCUCCGACCGCGCGAGCAGCAAACUCCGAGAUCUCCCGAACCGAGCGCACCCAACGCACCACGCCUAGCACCUCGGAGCCGCACCUCCGGCGCCCACGGCCGCCGUCGACGAAUCGUACCGGGGCAGAACGAGAAGAGGGAGCGCGGACGAUGCGAUGGCGCGGCGGAAUGGCGACGGAAAACGGCGGAUGUGGGUGUGAAUGUGAACGGAGAAGACAAGUCCUCGCUCCAGCACUCGCGAGAGAAAUGCGCCUUGGCGGAGUGGGGAGCACGCACGGCCUGGGGUGGUGGGGGUACACGGCGGCGUGCGCGUAGCAGCGGGCGGUGUGCCACCGUGUCAGCAAGUAGUGGGACCGGGAGGUUUACAGUUUACGGGUGGGAUCCACUUGGCAGAGAGAGAAAUCGGGACUGCGAGGAGCCUUCCUUGACUUUUUCAGUUCCGCGAGCAGUUGGUGAACGGGUGAGCGUCCGGGAAGGCGUUCUACAACCGUUUGACCGGGUUUAAGCAUGGCUGAUCGGAGAUUUUUUUGAUAACGACACAAGGGAAUAUUUGAUAAUGUAGAGCCUUUUGUGGCGUGGUGUUUUCUUGCCACUUGCAAGAUGCAGCUAGGAUUUGUCAACUAUUCGUUAAGAUUUUUUUUUUGGUUGAAACUUCAGUUCAUCAGAUAUCAAUGAUGAAUGGCCGGCGCGGAGUAAUAAUAAUUAAUUUUUCACUUUGUUCAUUUGAAAUUAUCUGUUAAAUCUGUUAGCAAGCGAAUAGAAUAAAACAACACUUUUAGUUAUACACAUAUAGAUAUAGAUAGAUGGGUGGUCAUAGCACAUGAUUUUUAUGUGUGAAUAAAAUGCAUCGCCGAUCCUCCAAUUGGGGUAUAUCUCGGUAUCUAAACUCAAAAGGUGUGUUAUUUCAGUUUUUAUUAAAUAUUGUUUGGAUCUAUCCAUCCUAAAUGGGUAUAAAUUAUAAUGGUAAUUUUUUCCAUCACGAAAUCACGAUGCUACCUUUACACGUAGAGCAAUAUCUUUACCAAUGCCCAUGUUUUCUCGAAACAUCAAACAUUAUAGUACGCUAUGAUUACGCUAUGUAUAUAUACUCUACAUGUUUGGUCAAGCCGAGAUCGCUAUUACUAAACUUACAGUUAUCUGGUCCAAAUUUAUUGCUAAAUGACUAAGUCAUGCACUCGUGCAUUGACCUAUAAUAGGUCAGUCUCUAGUAGCAGCCGUUUGGAUCCUUUUAUCUAAAUAAAUUAAAAUCUACAUAAUAAAAUAGACUAUUUGGCUUGAAAUUGACAUUCCAUCAUUUUCUAAAAUUCACAUAUAAAUCUAUCUCAAAUUUAUAGAAUGAAAGAUGAAAAAUUAAUUUUAUAGAUCAUAAUUCUAUGUUUCUACUUUGCAACUUAUAUUAUAUAACAUGCUAUUCAUCUCGCUCCUCUACGGUAGAAACACAAAAUAUAAUUAUUUUUCUCGUAUAGUUAACAAUAGUAUACAAACAUAAUUCAUAUACAACUAUAUUAGCUUAAUAUAUAUAUGUCUAAAUUAUGGUUAUUAGAAUCCAAAUGGGGCUUAAGAGGUUUAUGUUAUUAAAGGUGACAAGAUAUAUAAUAGAUAAAAAUAGAUGAUGAAAGUUUUAUGAGACAAAAUGAGUUUAUGAAGAUAAAAAUACACUGUUUUCGACUCAUAGUCAUAGGUCCUUAGAAACUUGAACAUAAAUAAAACGAUCCACUAAGACUAAUGCAAUUGACGCAACCACGAUUCACUCCGUAGCAUUUUCACUAUGCGCGUGAACAAGUGCAACCACGAUUGAUGCUGUAGCAUUUUCACCACACGCAUGAACAAGUGAUCCCACUCGCAAGUCAUAUACACACAUCAGCAUCGGGUCAGAAAGCAGGUGUGGACUUUGAGCCGUGUGACAGCAUCGCCAAGGUCAGUGACAUGCUCAUUUCGUUUGGCCUGGUCCAGGGCUCCAGGCCCCUGUUGAUAUGGUUGAUCUCGACCGUUGAACGGCAGGGAAGUGAUGGAUCGGGCGGCCGGCAGGUACCCAGGCGAGUUCAUGACAGGGUUUACGUGUUGCGAACACGCGACGCGGGCACACCGCACACAUGCAAACAUGUGGUGGCGCCGUGGUUGUGGUGAAAUGCACCGGAUCCAGACGUCCUCUAGGCUCUGGUCUGCGUCGAAAACUAAAAAGUUUUCAAGAUUCUUUAUCAAAAGUUUUUAAGAUUCUUUAUUACAUCAAAUCUUACGGCAAAUACAGAAAGCAUUAAAUAUAGACAAAAACAAAAAUCUAAUUACGUAAUUUACCUGUAAAUCGCGAGACGAAUCUUUUGACCCUAGUUAGACUAUGAUUGGACAAUAUUUGCCACAAACAAACAAAAGGACAAAAGUGUUAUAGUAGCGAAACCCAAAAGGUUUUCACAUCUAAACAAGACCUAAGUGUGAUGAUCCAACAUGCUUAGGCUAGUCUCGAUGCAUGUUUCAUAAGAAUGUCAUGCACAUUAAAUAGGGUGCCACCAUGGGCGGCGCCAGGGGUAUUCCCCUGUAUGCCAUGGAAUACCCAAGAUUUUGGAAAUAAACACAAAUACAUAUAUGUAUACGUAUAAGUAUAACGUAUAUAGUUGCUACAUGAUGUAAAUCUGGCUCAAAGCCCAAUAGAAAGCAGUGAUUUUCAGCUCAAUUAACAAAGUAAAGAAAAAAAAAGAUGGCAACGUUUCCUGGCUGCCGCUCUUAGGGGAUGUUUGGUUGCUAGCCAUAGUCUACCACAAUUAACUUUAGGUAAGUGUGGCAAGCCAUAAAAAGUGUGACUAGCAAAUUGGUUGCCACACUUUGUCAUGCCUAAAGAAAUCUUGACACACUUUUAAACUCUAUGACAUGUGGAGCCCAAAAGAAUCAUGCCUAAGCUUAGUUGUCAACCAAACACUUGCCAAUUUGGUCAAACUUGUCUAAGUUAAAGUGUGACAAAUUGUAGCUAGUAACCAAACAGCCCCCUAGUCUCCCAACUCACAUCGCAUCGCACCAACUCGCGACCCUAGCGUCGUGGCUUCGGCGACCGGUGGGCAGUGACGACUGGCGAGCCCGGCGCUCCGGCAGCCGGCGAUGUCCACGGUUUCGGUUCCGGCCUCCGGCUUGCUGCUUGAGGCAAGGUGAGCACAUACACUAGCACAUUUGCAUCGAAAUUAUUAGAGAAAAUGGCACUAUGACACUAUGUUCAGAUCUUGUACGUUGCUUAAGCCUUGUUUAGUUCUCUACACGAAUUUUGUUUUGGCGAUGUUUCGUUUGUAUUUGAUAAUUUUUGUCUAACUAUAGACUAACUAGACUUAAAAGAUUUAUUAUCUCAUAAAUUAUAGAUAAAUUAUGUAAUUAGUUAUUUUUUAUCUAUAUUUAAUAUUUCAUACAUGUGCUGCAAAAUUCAAUGUGAUAAAAAUGUUAAAAAUGUUUUUAGUUUUUGUGUGGAACUAAAUUAACAAAGCCUUGUUACUAUUGCACAUUUACAUCAAAAAUUUUUAUAUGCUCGGAAUACCCAGCCGUAAAAUCCUGGCUCCGCCACUGGGUGCCAUAUAAGCAAAAUUACUGACUUGACAGGUUCAUUAAAUGAAGGAGGUUCAUCAAAUGAGAGAAGAGUUUUAUCCCCAUAAAACUCAUGUGGCUUGGUUUCAUAGUUUAUAGUAUUGGUAACUGUACCAUAAAACUAUGCAUUAAGACUGGCCUUACAAAGCAUCUAGAGAGAGAAAAGAGAGGGGGAGGAGGAGGAGGAGGAGGAGGGAGAGAGAGAGGGAGAUGCAGAUAAAGAACAACACUGCACCAUUUGGACGCUCUUCGCAGUCUACGAACCCUCGCUUGCUUCAACUUUCACCUCCUUCCCUCCGCAUCUUUCUUCUAACACCUCCCCUCCUUUUCUCUCUCUAUUGUUUCUUCUUGUCGUUCGUAGGAGAGAUCAUGGCGUCCUAGUUGUGCAACAUAGGAACUAUACAACUAGCUAGGCAGCAGCGAAGGGAGCAGCGCACCUGCCAAGCAGUAGAGAUGUACAAGAACCAGCUCCUGACGUCGUACGUGUGCACGCCCGAGGGCCCCGACCACACGCCGCGGUUCCGUGCCGCCGUCACCUUCAACAGCGAGACCUUCGAGGGCCCCAGCGGUUGCACCACGCUUCGCCAGGCCGAGCACGCCGCCGCCGAGGUCACCCUCGCCCGCCUCUCCCUCCGUGCCCCGUCCACCUCCCUCGCUACCCAAGUCUUCGUAAGUCACCACCGUCAUCUUUCUGCGCGUGCUCUGUGUUCUACUCCUUGCUGCCGUCGAUCUCGACGUGGAAGGUGAAACCGUGCACAUUGCACAAGAUGAGACGGGGUUGUACAAGAACCUGUUUCAGUCAAAGAUUGCAGCCAUUCAAGAGUGAUUUCCUCUUACAACGCCAAACGAAUACAUCUUUAGUACUAUUAGGUGACUUUAUCCUACCGUUUGCUUCUUACAAAGCUAUUCGUUGUUAAAAAAACAACAACACAAAGCUAUUCCUAGCUAUGGCCCUUGGCCCAUGGGCCCUCUGCUUCUUUUUUUUUUAAUGAAAAGGAUUAGGCCCUGUUUAGUUCCCCAUAAAAAAAAAUUCAUCCAUCCCAUCAAAUCUUUAGACAUAUGCAUAGAACAUUAAAUGUAGAUAAAAAAUAAACUAAUUAUACAGUUUGGUUGAAAAUUGCGAGACGAAUCUUUUAAGUCUAGUUAGUCCAUAAUUAGCCUUAAAUGCUACAGUAACCCACAUGUGCUAAUGAUACAUUAAUUAUGCUUAAUGAUUUGUCUUGCAGUUUCUAGACGAGCUAUGUAAUUUGUUUUUUAUUAGUUUCUAAAAACCCCUCACGACAUCCUUACGAUACAUCUGAUGUGACACCCAAAAAUUUUUCAUCUCCAAUCUAAACGUUGCCUCAAUCCUUGUGAUGUUCGCUGCUGAUGUUUUUUCGAUCCUGCGCCUCCAAGUCACAUUCGCGUGAAAUGCAGGCAGUGGACUAGUGGAGGGAGAGGGAGUGGACACAUCCGCUUCAGGCUUUAACCAUUCGGCUCGGUGAUCAGAGUCAGAGACCCGGGUCUUGGGUCUUGAGUUCCCAAUUUUUUUUUUGUUCGAGGUACUAUAAUACUUUCAUUUUUAUUUAGUAAUUAUUUUUUAAUUAUAAACUAACUAGACUUAAAAAAUUCAUCUCGCGAUUUACAGAAAAACUGUGUAAUUAAUUUUUAUUUUCGUCUAUAUUUAAUGCUCCAUACUUAUGCCGUAAGAUUCGAUCGAAAAGUUUUAGGUUUUUGGGUGGGUAUGGUCUAUGGUGCCAGUACAUGUUGCCACACAUGGCAAUGAUGUGCCGACGUCGAUGGCCACCCUCACCCCGAGCAGGGUCCUGGCGUCAACAUCCGCGUUCGCUCGCCUCGUCGUGGCACUAGCAGAGUAGCGCCCCCUCCCCAAACCCCAUGGCAGUUCAUGGAACCUGCCGCACGCACACGGCGCACCCAUCGGUCCGCGCUUCGGCAGGCGAGUCGAGAGUGCCGGCCACACCGUCUCGGCUGCCCCUCCCUAGUGGCUGGUGGUGGCGAUCCACGCGCGCGGAUCGAUCCGGCAGUUGCCUAGUUGGUUUGGUUGAUCCCAUGCAGACCAACGACCCGGGCUGGCCGCUGCGUCGCGACAUGCAGUCAUGCACACAGCACACACCGUCCACCUGGGACGCGAUCCCAUAUCCCACCACUCUUCUCCUGUCUUCUUAAGUUUGGUUCAAGUGCUCUCUCCUUCGUUCGAACAUUGCACGAGAAAACGAUAAAAAUAUAAGAACUGAUCGACUACCGAAGGUCCACGUUAUGUCGAUGACUAGUCCUUUCCGCUAAUACUUUAAUGCCUAUGCUCGACAUGGUUCGAACCAUCUAUUUGGUUCGCUUUUAACUUGUGACAACAAACAUCCGAUCGCUCCAAUGUUUUGGUUCGCUUUUCCAUCUCACAGUUCGACUCAUGAGUAAAACUGGAGCUGCUCUAAUGGGCAUUUACCUACGCUAGCUGCCACUCCUCCGUGCACCUAUUCUCAUCUGAUGGCCUGCCAUUCUCAUUUUGGAAAACACACUCAUGGCUUGUUUAGUUCUAUUUUUUACAAAAUGGUCAAUGUAGCACUUUCGUUUAUAUUUGACAAAUAUUAUCUAAUCAUGGACUAACUAGACUCAAAAGAUUCGUCUCACAAAUUAUAGGUAAACUAUGCAAUUAAUUAUUAUUUUUAUCUAUAUUUAUUAUUCUAUAUAUGUGAUGCAUGAUUUGAUGUGACAGAAAAUUUAAAAAAAUAUAAUUUUUUUUUGAACUAAACAAGGCCCAAUCAAGACCGUAGUAAUGGACGCCUACACUUUGGUACACCAUCUCUGAACUUUGAACCUUCCACCGCAGCUGCAGUGCAGGUGUACUACUUCACUGCCAUUCUGCCAAGAAGAGGAACGAACACAAGUGGCGAUAGGAUCGCUCACGUUCCAGACCAUUUUGCACACCACCUUUGUCCAGGCCGACGCGGUGGCAGGCGCAGCACAGGCGAUCCCGGCUCGAAUUGAUGGUGAUCCUGAUCCCUCACCAUCCCUCCCGGCCUUCCGCCCUUCCCUCCUCGCUUGCGCUCGCGUGGCUGGCUGUGCACGCAUGGCAACGCUGGAGUUUCGUCUGCAGAAGCAUUACCUGCCACUGCCACCACGAAUGGAAGUUGGCUCUACCGUUUGAUCACCGUGCACUAGGUCUUUGGUCACUUGCCUAAAAUGAACAAUAAUCUCAGCCAAAACAGAGUCCGGGACAAAAACAUAUUUAGUCCCGGUUGGUGAGAACAACCGGGACUAAAAGUCCCCUGCCCAACGGCUAUUAUGUCAGACAUCGGCAGAGGGGACUUUUAGUCCCGGUUGUUCUCACCAACCGGGACAAAAGCCAAGCCUUUAGUCCCGGUUGGUGUUACCAACCGGGAUUAAAAGCUUUUGUCCCGGUCCGUCCCACCGGCCGAGACUAGUGUUGGAAUUUAGUCCCGGUUUUUAAAAGGAACCGGGAUUAAAUGUCCCUCCCCAUAUUUGAACUCUUCUUCCCGUGGCCGAGCCCAUCGAUCUUCACUCUUUUGCUGUGUUCUUCAUUUGGAGUUGCUUGUUCUAGCUUGCUCUCAUCUCCGGCUAUUGAUUCAUUUCAUCGUUUCUACACCGUCAUCGACUUGUUAAGAGGUCACUAGCUUCAUCUUCUCAACAUUUAGAAGCGGCGUAUGUCAUUUCCUAGUGUUAUAUUAUUUUUUAUUUUAUGGUUUUUUUAAGAGGUUAUUAGCUUCAUCGCCAUUUCAAAAGCGACGCGUUUUGUUAGAGAAAUAGUGGUAAUAUGUUUUUUAUUUUAAUUAGUUUAGAAAAAAUAAAAUCAUAUAAUACUUUAAUUUGCAAUUUUUGACCGAUUUAGUUAGUUAAUUAUAACUAGUAUACAUACCACAUUUCAUGAUUAUUUAAGAAAAUAGAGAAUUUUUGUGCUUUUUUAAUUUAGCUUGUUUAUAAAAAAUAGAAAUAUAGAAUUUUAGGUUUUUUGUUACUUUAAUUUCUCUAUUAAAAAUAAAAACAUAUAAUACUUUAAUUUGCAAUUUUUGACCAAUUUAGCUAUUUAAUUAUAACUAGUAUACAUACCACAUUUCAUGAUUAUUUAGGAAAAUAGAGAAUUUUUGUGCUUUUUUAAUUUAGCUUGUUUAUAAAAAUUAGAAAUAGAGAAUUUUAGGUUUUUUGUUACUUUAAUUUCUCUAUUAAAAAUUAGAAACUUAUAAUACUUUAAUUUGCACUUUAUGACAUGGUUAAUUAGUUAAUUAUAACUAGUAUGCAUGCCACAUUUCAUGGUUAGUUAGAAAAUAGAGAACUUUUAUGUCUUUUUAAUUUUGUUGGUUUAGAAAAACCAGAAAUAGAGAAUUUUAGGUUAUUUGUUACUUUAAUUUCUUUAUAAAAAAUUAGAAACUUAUAAUAUUUUACAUUGCAAUGCAGACAAUGACACGUCAUUGGAUGUACAAUGCCGAUCGCCGCUCCAAAGAAUUCAUUGAUGGUGUGCAUUAUUUCUUAAGAGUGGCCGGGGAAAACAAGCGGGAUGGAUUCAUAUGUUGCCCAUGUGCCUUGUGUCAGAAUUUGAAGGAAUAUUCUAGCUCUAGAAAUAUUCACUCACAUUUGUUGAAGUCGGGUUUUAUGCCAAACUAUAUUUGUUGGACCAAGCAUGGAGAAAACGGUAUAAUGAUGGAAGAAGGUGAAGAAGAACAGUUGGAGCCUGACGACAUUAUUGCUCAAUACGGUGACUUCGGUGAUACAGCAAUGGGAGAAGCUGAAGAUGAGGCAGAUGCAGAAGGCGCACCUGUUGAAGAUGAUGCUCUUGGUGAUGUCAUUCGUGAGGCACAAAAAGAUUGCGAAAGUGAAAAAGAGAAGACAAAGUUUGACCACAUGUUAGAAGAUCACAAGAAAUUAUUAU
Molecule: long non-coding RNA, 68779 nt
Filed under: Sorghum bicolor (sorghum)
Lineage: Eukaryota; Viridiplantae; Streptophyta; Magnoliopsida; Poales; Poaceae
Description: long non-coding RNA (SBIC_LNC003687)
Source: RNAcentral